AGAAUAGUAUUAUAUUUUUCAUAAAUUUUAAAUAAUAUAAAUUUAUAUUUGAGAGUAAAAUUAGUAUUAUAGUAUUCUAUAAGUUUUUAAUUUAUACGAACCAAACGAUGAAAUGUGAAUAACUCAUUCCAAUUCCCAAUCUACAAAUAAACCAAACGUCUUGGGGGAGUGGGUCAUUCCAAUUACCAUUCCAAUUCAUUCCCAUUCCAUUAUCCAUUCCAAUUCCACCCUUGAACCAAACAAGCCCUAAGGGCAUGAUUGGUUCACCUAUUUUAGACUAUGGAAUCGGAAUGAAAUUCAUUGAUUCCAAUAGUUGCCGUUUGUUUUAUAGGAAUCGGAUUCCAAUUCCCAUUCCAGUCCGGAAUGGGAAUGGCCAAAUCCAUUUAUGAUCCAAUCUGACUUUGAAUUUCGGAUUAGCUCAUUCCAAAGUAUACUAUUCAAAAUCCUCUUUCAUCAACACCCACCUCCUCUCCCUUCAUCACUUUCCUUUCUCUUAAUCAAAACCCUCUGUCAAAAAUUUUAAAUUUUCAUUCCGAUUUCCAUUCCAAUAAUGAACUAAAUAUUUUUGAUCAUUCCAUUUUCCAUUCUAAAGUAAUCCAAUUUCAUUUUCCACUCCUAUUCGAAUGAUGAACCAAACAUGCCCUAAAAUUGAAUGCAAGUGAAGGUGCAAUAAUCUAGUUUGCCAAAGGGGGAGGAGAGGAUGUUGAAGGGUGAACAUCAGCAUUUGCAGGAGGGCAAGGAAAGACAAGGGGAUUUAUAAGGUAUAAAGUUUGAGUGCUAAGCUCUGCGAGAACGUCUCAUUGCAUGGGAAACUUCCGAUUCACUGUAAUGUAUUAAUUUUGCUUUUAUCCAAUGAUUCGUUGAGUUCUUUUUAGUACUAAAACUUAAAAAAAAACUUUUAAAUUCUAAAAAUAAGGAUUAUAAUUUUCGAAUAGAUAAAAAAUGACACGUAACGAUGAAUUGAGACUAGCUAACCAAUCUUUUUUUUUCUUUUUUUUUUUUAUAUUUGUGUGUGUGUAUAGAGCAGGUGCUUGAGACCAUCAUUAUGGAAAUUUUAGGCAUUCUAAAGAAUCUAAACAUGAGGUGGUAGUACUAAUUGUACACAAAAGUCCAAGCUCUUUAAAUGUUAACCCACAUGCAACUAUGUCCCACCUUCUUCUCAAUGACCCAUCAAUUUCAAUCUCCAUAUAUUUUAUUUGCUUUUCUUUCAUUAUUUUCUUCUAGGAAAAAAAAUUUCUUAUAAAUAAUGCAGAAAACUCAAAUUUUAAAGCUGAAUGCCAAUCCCUAAUUUCUUAUCCAGUACAUCACUUGUCGGCCGCGACUUGCCUCGUGAUCUGCCAUCCAUAUAUCUCUACUUUAUACAUCCAGCACUCAUGUAUAAAGAAAAAUAUUUUUAAAAACUUAUUUGACUCUGUUGUAAGAUAUAAUAUCGUUUAAUAAAGUAGUUUAUAAGGCGCAAUAAGUUAGUUUGUCAAAGGAGGAGACUGAGGACUCGACUUUAAACAUUUGUAGUGUAGGUCACAAGCACUAAUCACUUAUUCCAAAAAAAACGUACCGAUAGGAAAGACGCACUUAAGCACUUAAAGGCUCAGUCACAGUGCUUACGGGCUUCGAUCUGCCUCAACCUAUCUGCACUUUAGGUCUAUUACUAUUAGCUCUGUUAUAGGCCGCAGCCGUAUUGAACAAGUUGGACUCAUCCGACUUAAGUUAUUAUUAGUCUCUUGAAUCUAUUAUUACAGAACAAGACAGAGGGUGCUAUAAAGAGGGAAGUGCAUGGACCAUUUUUGUGGAAAUUGAGCUUCCCAAAUAUUGAUUGAGGUUGGAGUUGUAAUUUGUGCACAAAAAAGUCUAAGCUCCUCAGAGGCAUCCCACAUACAAAUAUGGCCCAUCUUUCUAAUGCACCACCAGUGCCAACCCCCACCUCUUAAAGCUGAAAAAAAAAAAAAAAAAAGUCUCCUUAGGGGAGUAUCAUGUGUUACUGAGAAAAUUUUUUCUGUCACAAUAAUUUUAUUUAAGAUGGCGAAAAUACAGAAAUUUUUUAUAAAUACUAAUCCUUUUACUUUUUUUCUCUGACUUUUAAAAAUCUAUAUAUUGCCUCUAUAAAAUUUCGAAAAACAUUUUCAGGAGGUUAAGACGCUAAUUAAGAGGGUGAAAUGAUUAAAUUGUUCUUACUUAUUUUAUAAAAAAAAUAACUUUUUAGUUAAUUUGUUAUUUUGAAGGAUAUUUUUUUUAUAAAUUACAAGAAAUGGACGGAACACUGAUGGAAUUUUGACUUAAAGGGAACUAAUUAAAUGUAUCAACUUAAAAUUUGAAAAACGUGAAAUAUAGGUUUUGAAAAGUUAGAAAGAGAAAAAUGACAAAACGAGUAUUUUUGAAAGAAUUUUCUAUAUUUUAGCCAUAUAAGAAUAAUAAUAAAAAUAAUUAAUCCAAAAUGUGCACAUUGCAAACAAGCAUAAGAACAAUGUUUUUGAAACACCAUUUGAAAAUAAAUUUAUUAUAUUUUCCUUAAUUACACCCUUAUAGAUAUAAACAUGACACAAUGGAAUUGGUUUCAGAUAUAUUUUAUAUGGUAUAACUUUCGCAAAAUUGAGGAGCAAUGUUAGUAUAUAUAGUGCGAAAGAUUUUGAUUAAUUUAUGCAGAGAUGUGCAGAGAUGUCAUAUGAGUUCGUCAACACAUGAAUUAUUUGUAGAAAAUCUUUUGUCGGUGACCAAAAGCAUUUCCUUGAGCCAUUUUCAAAUGAAGAGAGAGAGAGAGAGAGAGAGAGAGAGAGAGAGAGAGACUAUUAGGCAUGUUUGUUUCGUCGAAAGUAGGAGUCAUUUUCAGCUAUAAAUAUCUACUUCUAUUAUUUGGCUCAUUGUAAAUUAGUUGGCUCAUUGUAAAUUAGAUUCACCUGUAACUCUAUAUUUUUCCAAAAUAUCAUAAUUAACUUCGCCUAGGUAGUGCCAAAGUCAAUUACAGAAGAAAAAAAGAUAAAAAAAAUAAUAAAAUAUUGGUUAAUGCAACUUUUUUUCUUUCAUCCUCUAUGUACUAAUAUACAUUUCUUUUAGUAAAAUAAAUAACAAAAGUUUGUAAACUCAUUGGCUUCUUAUCAAAUAAAUAGCAAUAAAAAAAAUUUAUAUGAACUUCAGUUCAACUGAAAGUAAUUUUUAAUUUAAAAAAUUCUCAUCAAUCGUAACAUAAUAUUCAGUAAAAUUCUCAUCAAUCGUAAUAUAAUAUUCAGUACUAAAUAUAUCAACACAUCAGGACCUGCUCCUUUUCUGACCCCAAAAGGAUUUCACACUUCAUCCAAUCCAAAUCAGGAAAAGAAAGAACAACAGGCCGAGGUUGGACCAUUUAAAAUUUUUUAAAAAAGUAAAAAAUAAAAAUAAAAAUAAAAAUAGUAAAAAAAGCCCAAUUAAGUGCCCAUUAAUCACUAUCAAACUCAAAUCAUCUCUUCUUAAUUAUAUAUGAUCAAAUAUUAUUUUGCGUAUUUUCUUUUUCAACACCGCGACCCCUUCUUGCACGAGAGUGCGCCGGCCGACACGGUGAUCGCGCCGACGAGGGACGACGGCCGGGCGCCCAGGCUCGACGCCCUGGCGUAGCUCGACGAGGCACCCGCGCCCGAGGGCGUGAAGAAGGCGCCGUUCAGCAUCAGGUCGCCCUCCGAUCGCCAGUUCCAGUCCUUCCAUUCGCUCUCCGACGCAAACUCACGCUUAGUCACCUGCAAGCACAAGUAUCCUAUCAGAUUGAUUUAUCACAUAAUAUGAUAUCAGAAUUAAUCCCUAAAUUCUCUCAUAUGACUGCUGCCUCAGAAUGUACUUCAACGUACAGUUAAUGAUUGAUUUCGCUUUUUAUAUAUAUAACAAUUUAAUAACAAUUUUUGAGAGUCGAUAUAAAUUAGCUUUUAAUAUGGUGAAAACAUCUAAAAGAAGUGCAAAAUCGAUGAUAUUGAUCUCAUGAUAAAGUACAUAUUUAUUUUUUAUACUUAAAAAUGUUUUGCACCGUAGAAAAAUUUGUAGUGUACCACAUAAUCAUGUGGCACGAAUCACGAGAAAGAUUUUUCUUCUGGGACAAAUAUCUAGAACCAGUUUGUUUGUCCACGAUACUGAGUACACAAUAGUAUACUCCUUUAAAAAAAAAAAAAAGUUUCCCUAGAUUUGGUUCACCAUGUCAAUUUUCACCAUAUAUAUUUUACCACUAUUUCAUAUAGAUUUAUAAUUUUAAAGUAAUUAUUAAAUUCAGAUAUAAAAGUUUAUAAAAGUAAGUUGGCGGAUGGCCAUAAUAAUAUUCGCAAAUAAAAAAUACUAAUUUCAUUAACUUUAGUUAAAAAAGAAAUCUCAUUUACUUACUUUCUAAUAUUUUACACGAUUAGUAUGAUAUUUUAAAUGAUUCCAGUAAAACUUUCGAACUGGCUGAAUUCAGUAGUCGACUCUAAAUUUUUAGAUCUGAUCUGAGACAGUAAUAAAUAGCAUAAUCUCAAAUUCUUAUAUUUUAAAGUAAGGGGAUAAUUGAGACAUCAAAGAAUUAAAGUACACAAAAUUCUUUUUUUCUAAUUUAGCCAAUAUAUAAAUAUAUGUUGCUUCUCUAUUAGGUUGGUCUACAUUGUUUUACUACAAAAGGCCUAGCAAAUAGUUUUACUAUGCAACAAAUUAUCACAAGUACCAAAAAAAUUCCACUAAUAACAGUGUAUUAUUAUUAUUAUUAAAGGCAUGGUGAAAUAAAUAAAACUAAAAAAGAAAGAGCAAGUGCAAAGCCUUUUGACCACUAAAGUAAAAGUGAAAAGUAAAAGAGAGAACAUGUCAAUCAAUGGGGAUGGGCAAUCCAUUUAGAAAACCUUGAGGGCUUAAAUGUAAAUAUCUUAUAAAAAAAUUAAAAAUAUUUUUUAAAAAUAAGAUAAAUUAUUAAAAAUAUUUUUCAUAGUUAAUAAAUUAUUGCUAGAUAACUUAGGAUCCAUUCGAUAUUGAAGGUUAUUUGAUGCUAUUUGGUAAACAAAAUUGUAACGAAAGCAUGCACAGAUAUACUGUUAAAUAUAAAAUAUAAAAAAUAUCAUUCUCUAUUAUCUGAGGUUUUUGAAAAAUAACGGUAGUUUCGCAUUAAUUAACAUAGUAUCAGAGUAGAAAAUUCUAAAUUUAAGUCACAUUAGGCUCUUAAUAUUAUUAUUAUUAUUUAUUUAAUUCAAGUUUACGUCACGAGCCUAUCAAAAAAUUUCAAAAUUAAACAUAAGAGAAAGUGAAGUAUUAAAUAUAAAAUAUAAAAAUAUCGUUCUUUAUUAACUUAAUUUUUUAGAAAUUACUUACGAAAAUAAACAGAAUAUUUUUUUUUUCGUACUUUCUCAUGUAUGUAAAAGUCUUUCUAAAAUCCCAAAUAGCGCUUUAAUCUAACACCCUAAUAACUAUAAUAGAGAACAAAAAUCACGUGCAUCCAAACAGACCCUAAAUUCAGUGUCCGAAAGGGACGGUUAUCAUAAGAAAUUGAAAAAGGCGCAGGACGGUAGUGUUGAGUUUUUAGUUUUGUCACCUCCUUGGCUCGUUCGUUGUCGGGGGCCGAGAACCGGUUGCCUUGGCUGUUGAUGGUGGGGGCGGCGCUGCCGCCGAUCGCGUACAUCUCCCAGUGCGUGUAGUCGUUGUUCACCACGUGGAAGUACCCGUGCCGACACCUGAUUCGCGCCAUUGUAUAAAAGUUAAAUGUUUGACAUACAACAUCUUUGAUUUGUACAUCGCGACUUGUACAUUCGUAAAACAAUCAGUUUUGAUAGAUGCUGUGAUAAAAUGCAUGUACAUAAUGUGGCUGGAAACACAGUAGUUUAAACUAUAUGUACUAGUUUGAUUGGAUGUAGCAAAAAAAGCUAUAAAUAUAAAUAAAUAAUUUUAUUAUAUGCAGUUAAGAAAUAUACUUAAUAAGUGAUUAGGGAGCUAAGUUUAUUUUCAUUUAAAAUUACCACUACAACAGAAUUAGGUUAUAGGGACACAUGUUUGCGACAUUUUUGAGUAAGUGUCCUAUUAAUGCUAAAACUUAAAAACACAUCUACUAAUGCCUAAAUAUAAAGCCCAAUUCAACCAAAAAUAAAAGAUUACUCUACUCAACCCACCACACCCAGUCCAUUUGGCCCGAUUACAAACAGAAAAGAAAAAAAAAAAGAAAAAUCAAUUACCAUCUUUUCUUCUCUCUUCACUCAAUCCACUGAAAUUCUAGACGAAGAGCCUUUACUGUCGUCCUCCUCCACCACCGCAGCCAACGAGAUAGAGUUUCGGCGGUUGCUAAAUGCUUAAAUAAAUGUUGGUAAAUUAGCAGCACUGUUUUAGGUUAUAGCGACACUCUUUAACUGUCACUAUAUACUUAGCGACCCCACAUAUAGCAACACUUUUUAAAAGUGUCGGUAAUUUUAGCUAGCAGCACUUUUUUGACAUGUACCUACAUUUAAAAGUGUCGUUAUAGGCCGUUUUUUUUGUAGUGUACUCUCUCCAGUUGCUACAUUUACAGCUGCGGUUAAUUUAGGCGUAGUUCUAAUUCUCAUACAAUUCCAACUGUACUAACUGAAUUCAAAUAUAUUAAACCAAAAUAGUGAAUUUUGAAUCGCUAUGUAGUUACAAUUAUAGUGAAAUUAUAAUUACUUCCAACUUUGAAUAUGAUAUUAAGCUUUUACAUAGUUCUAUGAAAUGUGUGGUCCACUUUUUUUUUUUUUUUUUUUUUUUUUUUUGGUGGAGAACAACACAUUACUAAGGAAAUUAAUUUCCAACAACAAAUUAAUGGCAUUUUAUGAAAAAAAAAUUUAAUAUAUAUAUCAACUAAAAAAUUAAUGCAAAGUUAAAAAAUAUAUUAGUAUUAUAAUUAUCACUACUACUGUCACCAACUUAAUUAACGGCCCAAAGGACCAAAUUGCAAAUUAUUAUAAAAGAAGUGAGUAAAGUGCAAAAAAGCCUCCGGCGGCUCACCGGGGCAUCCGCUGCACGAGCCCUUCGCCGAAGUGGUUGAAGGCGAUGGUGACCUGCAUAUGCUUGUCGGCGACGAGCUCGUCGCUGUGCCCGAGCAGCAUCACCUUGUCGUGCCGCGACAUGUAGUUGUUCGACACCGUGAUCGCCGUCGACCCGUGUAUCGCGUCGAUGAGCCCGUCGGUGCACGCCGAGAGGCUGCAGUGGUCGAUCCACACGUGCGACCCCCCGAAUAUCGAAAUGCCGUCCCCGUCCGACCGCGUCCGCCACCCGUAGUGCCCCGGCGAGUCUCGCACAUAAGCGUUCCCCCCCGGCCGACAAUCGUGUAUGUUUAUGCCUACCGGAUAUAAAAAACAUAUCAUAAUUGAGAUCCGUAGGCGCUGUGUCUGUAUAUUUCAAGUAAAUACCGUGAAUGAUAAUAUUCGUGACGUAUUGGAUUGUGAUGCAGGGCCCGCCGGCGAUGUGCACGCUUGCGCCGCGGCCGUCGAUGGUCUUGUACGAGUUCAUGAUCAGCUCCUCCUUCAACCUGACCGUCAUGUCGUGUGCGAACACGAUCCAGAGGGGCUCGUCCCGAAUGACGGCGUAGCGGAGCGUGCCGGGCCGGGGGUUCACGGGGUCGUCGUCGGAGCCGUCGGUGACGACGUAGACAUCGCCGUCGCGGCCGCCGACGGCAUUGCGGCCGAACCCGAUCGNGGCAUUGCGCCCGAACCCGAUUGCACAGUCGGCCAGCCGCUGGCGGUGCCGGUCCCAAUGCCGGUCGCACCGCCAGCAGUCGUCGAUGGGAUUUCCCGUCCCGCAGGACAAAUAUCCCAAUCCUCUACGGGAAGCAUUGUAUAAACUCCUAACAAAACAUUACAACACACAUAAAUUAUAUACUAAUGUACAAAAAAUUAAAACUUUUCAAAAAUUAUACAGUAAUAUUUAUUUUUUUAAUAAUAAUAAUUUUACAUAUAUAUAUAUCUAUAUAUAUAUAUAUAUAUACCUUUCGACUUCUUGUACUACGAAUUCAGGGUCUGAGACGAUCGUGUUCGAUGGAGGAGAAGAGAGAGAAAAAGAGAGUGCGAUAAAUGAGAAGAGCACGAAGAGAAUGAAUUGAAGAGCGAGAGUCAUUUUUUUCCUUUAAUUUCUCUCUCUCUCUAAUCUCUCUCUAUAUAAUAAGUGUAGAGAGAGAAAGUGGGUGAAUGGUAGAGGGGGAGUUGGGUGCAAUUUAUAGAGUGAGAAUUUAAGAUAUUUAUUUAUUUAUUAAAAAAAAAGGGAGUAAACAAAUUGAGAGGGAAAAGAGGGGGAGGGGGUGUGAUCAAACUACAAAAAGUAAGAGUGUGGGUCCCACCAAAAGUAACGUAAAUUAUGGAAUUAUUUACAGAGAUACUAUUUUGGUAGUUUGUUAGUUUAGGUAGUUAAAUAUAAAUGAGAAAAACAUAGGCUAAAUUACACUUUUGGCCCUCAAAUAAUACGGCGGAUGACAUUUUGAUCCUCAAAUUUAAAAUUAUUGUAAUCAUAUCCCACAGUUUAGUUUGAUGAAUAAUAUUAACGUAUAUUAUUUCGCCUAGUCAAUUUUAUUACUGCUACGUGAAAAUAAUAGGAAUUAAAAUUCUAGCUGUUUAUAUCAAAUUAACUAGUAGUUGAGGGACCUCUAUGCAUUUUUACCGUACCUAUCUUUUUAGUUAAAAAUUUCUCGACAUAUUUAUGAUAUGGAUAGGACUACUGACCUACCAUUAUUACGACCCAAAACCCAAAAAAAGGAAAACAUAAUAAUAAUAAAAAAAUUUUAAAAAUCUAUUUAACUACAUUAAAGGAGAGUUUGGGAAACCUUAGAGUGACACGUGUCCCCCAACCCUCCUAUUCUCUCUCUUUCUACACAUAUAUAUAUAUAUAUAUAUAUAUAUAUAUAAAAUACAAAAUUUAAAAUUUUAAAUCUCUAAAUUCUAAUAAUACGCGUAAUAAAAUCUAACCUAAUAAAUGCAAUUUAAAUUACAUAAAAUAUCGCUAUAUAAAAAAAUAUAGAAUUUAAAUUUUAGAACUAAAAUUUUAGAAAUAUAGUGCAUAUGUGUAUAUAUGUAAUUAAUUUUAUUAAAUAUUUUUUUUUACAAUUUUUUUUAUUGGUUUUCUUAAAUUAUUUUGAUAGAUUAUCUCAAAUUCUUUUCAUAUAAAUUUUAUAAAAUAAAUUAUUGUAUAAAUUUACUUUACGCAUAAUUAUUUUUAUAUAAUUUUUUAUUUAAUAAAUAAUUAGACUUAUAAAACUAUAUAAAAAUAUUAAAAAAUAUAUAAUUUAUUAUAAAAAUAAUUUUAUAUCCGCAGCAUCGCGCGGGUAAUUCACUAGUAAGCAUAAUAAUAAGGUUUUAAAAAAGCAUGGAAUCAAAUAAUGUGUUUUGUAUUGUCUUAUAUUCAUUUUUUGGAUUUUGUGAUCUUAUUAACAGUAACAUAGAAUGAUUGGGUACGAUUUAGUUAAAAAAAAAUAAAAAAAUAAAAAGAAAUAAUUAAUCUUGUAUAAAUAGUGGUUAUUACUAAUUGAGUUUAUUUUAUAUGUAUCUUCUCCAAUUUAUGCAAUUAAUGCAACUAUUUGAUCAUGAGUAGUGGUGAGUUUUUGGUUUGAUUAUUGAAGUUAAAAUCAUGUAGUAGUAAUUAAACCAAAAUAAGAUAACCUAAAAUAUAUAUUCAUGUAGCUCUAAUUUUCGUUGCUCUUAUAGUAAUAUCUUAAAUCGAAAGACGGAGAUUAAGAUACUCUAAUGUUUGGUUUAUAAUAAAAUUUUCGAUCACAGUGUAAUUACUGCAUUAUUUAUUAAAAAAAGGCUAAAUUAUAUAAAAUUUUUCUGUCAAAAUUUGAUUUUUCACUUUCUCUCCUUGUCAUUAAAAAACCUACACUUUGCUCCCUUAUAAAAUAAAAAAUAUUCACUUUACCCCCUAUCGUUAGUAAUCCCUUUAGAGUUUCGUUUAUAAAAUAUGAUUAUAUAUUUUUUAUGCCAAAAAUAUCUUCAACCUUUUCUCCUGUAAACAUAGUGAGGGACGAAAUGGUGAGGAGCAAAAUAGUUAUUUUGUCAUCGCAGUUCACACCGUACUCCCUGUGAAUAUUUUUUAUUUUACAAAAGGGUAAAAUGUAGGUUUUUAAAUGACAUGAAAAAAGUGAAAAAUCCGAUUUUGAUAUGUAGAUUUUCUGUAAUUUAGCUAAAAAAAAAAAUAUUGUUGUAGCUAAAGUUAUAGACCAAUUAUCUUGGAAAUUUGGUAUGAACAGUAACAAGUACAAUCACUUUAAUUUCAACAUGGUACACUUUUUCCACAUCCAUGAGAUUUAUAGCCACAUUGUGGGCUUGAACAGAUCUCACAUGGACAGUGUCAGUGUUGUGUUGAAAAACCCUAGAAAUUGAUUUCAAAACUACAAAAAAAGAAAAAAAAGAAAAAAAGAGGAGGAGCAGAACAAGAUGGGGGAGCAUUGAAUGAUCACUUGUCGGUGUUGUGGUUUCUUCUUUUAGAGAAAGAGGAAGCAGCUUUUAAUAAAUUGGUGCAUAUAUCUCUUUGUCCAAAUAUAUUUUUUAUUUAUUUUUUUUCUUGUUUUAGUAGCAGUUAUCUUCUUGGGCAUAUAAAGUCUAGUAAAUCUGCACCCUUUAUUUUUUGGUAUAAGUAUGUCACUUUUCUCUUCAGCUUUCAACAGCAGCCAUCUAUAGUAUAGCAUUUACUCUGAUGAUUCUAUAGCACUGAGAAUUGUUGUCUUAAAGAAGUCAGCAUUAUAUUAUAUAGCGGGAGAUCAGAUUGGAUCAAGUCAUAUUCGAAACGACGGGAGGUCAUGAGUUGGGCCUAAUUAUCUUCUCAGAGUGGCAAGAGUCUGAUCAGACCGAGUCACAAUCAAGACUCGUAGAUGCUGUGUUUGCACGUUUUAAGUGAAUUUGUUGUAUAUUUCUAGCAUUCGAGUUUUUGGAAUUAAUAAUUAGCGCCAACGAUCUGACAAGAAUGAUUUGAUACAUAUAUAUUGUUGUCUGACUAUAUUUGCAUGAGCGUUUACAAGUCUAAUACUUUCUGUUCUAGCAAGAAAUAUUUGGUGCAUAUAUCCCUUUGUCUGGCUAUAUCUGUUUUAUCUCCUGCUACUUACAAGGAUUUCUAGUAGAGUAUUCACCAAUUAGAUGUUUCUGCUUGAGACCCACUCCACAAUUGAAUGAAAGCUUUAGUUUGAUACUUCUAACUUUAAUACUACACUGAAGAGUAUCUGUUAAAAAUAUUUUACGAUAAUGCUUCUUCUAAAAGUACUGCUCAAUCAGCACUUCAUCCACCAACACUAUGUAGUGAGAGGAAGAACAAUAUAUUUGGAGAGAGAGAGAGAGAGAGAGAGAGAGUGUUGGUUCAAUUAUUAUUGUGGUUGGGUUAGGGACCAAGGGUUUGCAUGAAUUGUAUGUGAUCAUCUAAACAUUUGGACCCACCUUUUCUCAUUAAAGAGCAACUGGGGCUCACAUGCAAGCAUUUACAGUAACAGUGUUACUUGCAUGAGUGCCCCUAUGAAUAAUAUUCAUAUAUGACUACACCUAUUGUGAGAGGCUCUUGUGUAUGCAUGUUUAAUAUAAAUAUAAAUAUGUUAAUAUCAUCACUCUUUUACAGGACAAUAGUUAAGCUUAAGCUAUUGAGAACAAUAUUUUUAAUAUUUAUAUUCAAAAUUAGCUGAAAAUUAAAUGCUCAAUCUUACUCUUUCAUCAUUUUAUGAAUAGAAAGAUAGUAGUAUAUUGCGAUAUAUAAAAAAAAAUAAAAUAAGUGAUUAAUGGCUGAAAUUGAGCUAAUAAUUUUUAAUUUAUAAGUAUGUUCCUCACCUAACAAAGUUUUUUUUAUCUGUGGGGCUUAACUUUGUUCCAUCCAGUGAGUUAAUAACAAUGCCUAAUUCAAAUAGCAAUAAACUAUUAACAAUGAUGUUGUAUGAGAUACCAAAGUGUGAAAAUAUGGGUGCAGUAACUGCUUAUCACUAGCCAACUUUGGCCUGUUGCAAUCACCUAAUUAAAGGAUAGAAAUAAAUUAUAAAACAAGAAUAACAUAAAAAAGUGUAUGUUACCACAUUUAGUGGAGAGAUUUGAGGGUCCUUGAGCUCAACAACAAUAUGGACAUUUUGCUUCUUCCCACUAUUAUAUAUGCUUCCUAGUGUCUUAAUAGCUUUGAAAUGCCUAGAGAUGCUAAAACCAUGUUUGUGAUUUACUAAGUAAGCCUCUUCCCUCCAUUCAUGGUUUCUGUGUCCAUUGGCUACCCCAAGUUUUUUUUUUUUUUUUUUNAUAUUUUUACCAUAUAUUAAAAAUUUUGUAUUCUUAUAAAUCAUAUUCAUGUUUGUGCUCGUCUAGAUCUGAAUAUUUUUUAGGGGUAAUUGCUUAUACACCUCUAAAAAAUUUCCCACUUUCUGAUUUACCCCUCUUAAAAGGCUAAUAUUGAAAAUACUUUUUUUACGUUCCAACCUAUUUUAACUAUGCCCCUAGAAUUAAAAUCUGUUAAUAAACUCUGUUAUUUGUAUAAAUUACUAUUUUGCCCUUUCAAAUAUACACUUAUACCAUCACCAGCUUUUCUUAUUUGUCCUUCAGUCAGGGACACAAAAAGUAUUUAGACUGUUGAUUUUUUUCAAAUAUACCCCUCUACCGUUACCAAUAUUUCUUAUUUGCUCUUAAGUUAAGGGCAAAAUUAAUAUUUUAAUUUUUUUUUAACUGUGGCAAAAUUAGAUUUACACUUUAAUCAAUUCAAUCCUUUAAAUCAUACUAUUUAACCAACCACCCACUCAACCUUAGAGAAACCACUACUAAACCUUAGGGGACCGCUAUAAUCCUAACUCUACAAUUUAUCAUCCAAAGAUUAAAAUCUCGAUAGUAAAAGAACACAAAUAUUAUUAAUCGUAUUCCAGCCCAAUUCAUUAUAAUCUUAUUUAACAAUUAAGUCCCUAAAAUUUUUCUAGCAUCAUGACCCAACUUGUUAUGUCAAUUUUCUUCUCAAAUAGGGGGAAAAGAAAAGGCUACAUGGGUGUCUAAGAACUAGUACUCUAGUUAUUAAUAAUAUUGAGCUUAACCAUUUUGAGUGGAUAACAAAUUGCUAAUACUAAUAGGCAAGAAAAUAUAUAAUCUCUCUCUCUCUCUAAAAAAAUUAGGUUAAAAAAAAAACUCCCAAAUUCGUCCUGAUACACUGAGAAACAGGAGCGGAAGGCAGAGAAGCCCGUAGCGGGUUUUUUAGUGCAAUAGUCUUUUCUUAAAAUUUUAUUCUAAAAAUAGACCUGUUAAAUUUUUAUUUAUAAAUAUAAUCCUAUAAAAGCGGUGAAUGAUUCACCGCUUUUAAAAACGGUGAACCAUUCACCGCUUUCUUUUUUUUUCUCACUUCUUUUUAUAUUUCUACAAUGGUAAAAGCGGUGAAUGGUUUACCGCUUUUACCCUUUUUCUACUCCUAAUGACAAGUUAUGAAUGCGGUGAAUCAUUCACGGCAUUUAGAGAUCUAUUUUUAUAAUUAUUUUUUUAACAAAAUUAUUUUUACAAUUAUAAAAAUUGAUAGGUUUAUUUAUAAAAAAAAUUCCUUUCUUUUAUCCAUCCCGCGAUCUGUCAAAAAUCUGUUCCCCGUAUCUGCCAUCCUCAUCAAUUGGUUGUUUUUCACCAAUUACAUUUCCCAUGCAUGCAUGCAUGCAUGCAUUGUUUUGUUAAAUGUAAUUAAAUUAAGAUGAUACAAAUGACCAACCAACUAUUGUCAAUUGCAAUCAACUGCACUAUCAACAAACUGAAAAUGGCAAGGUAAUAGUAACUUGAGGUAUAAAUUUUGUGUGUGUGUGUGUGUGUGUGUGUGUAUUUGAUUGCAACUAUUUUGGCCACUUAGGUAGUUAAAAGAAGCCAUAAAUGAUAGUGACAUAGGAACUGCAUCAAAGUCCUAUUCCUCUGCUCCCUUGUACCUUUUACUCUGGGAAAAAAAAAAAAAAAAAAAACAUGAAACACACCCUUUUUCUUUAUUUUUAUUUUCAAAUAAAAAAAUUUUAGAUUCUUUUCUUAAGAAUCAAACCGACAAAAAAAAAAUACUAUUGACGCCAGAAAACUAUUCCCAUCUAUUUGUAGCAGAAUUAAAAGCACUAAAUUUGAGCUUGCGACUUUUGAGGCUACGAAUCUCAAUUUUCACCAUCUCUUUCAACUUAAAAGUUUCAAAAUUUUCUCUGUUAAAAACAAAAGCAUAAGCUGAAACAAACAUGCCAGAAUUAGAAGCACCAUAGUUGAACUUUUUCGUUUUCGAGGCUACAAAUCUCGAAUUUAUCUAUUUGCCAAACAUUGUAGAAAAGGUUGCUGCUGUAAGUAAAAGCAGAAGCUGGAACAAACAUGAUAAUGCCCUAAUUGGUUCCUAUCCAUUUCUCAUUAUGCUCGUGGGAACAUGGAAUGAUCCCUAAACUAAAGCCUACAUAUAUAGCUAACAAAGGAAAAAAAAAAUUUAAAUAAAAAGUACCUUUAUAGGAUGCUACUUCAAAGCUUUGGCCUUUCUCUGUAGCCUCAUUGACUUCAUUUGAGAGGCAUUCUAAAGAGGAGAACAACAAGUUGGGGCUUUUGAAAAGGAAGAAGAGCUGUAAGUAGAAGCACUUGAGAGGUUGCUGUAAGACUCAAAAGAGAAUGCCAAGUAUGUGUUUGAUUACCGCACCCAGCGGAGGAUUUGGAGGCUUACCCACAAAUCAUGAUUCCUAUGUCCUAAAUCUUAAUGAAGUAAUGCAAUACCCCCUGCCGUUUACACACAUCGAACAAAAUGUAUGAAGGGGAUUUGUACGAUUUACCUGACACGUGGGCCCCACACGCCGUCCAAAUCGACGAAUCUGGUGUCGCGUGCUGUUUACUUGCAUGUAAAGAGAAGUGAACAGAGUAAUUUCGAACCAUAAUAGCAGCCAAACAUGUUUGUGCUUUAUAACUCGCUCGACUAGUAAACCUUUUCACUCCAUUCAUGCUAUCGACCUAUAGCAAAAAUUUGAGUUUGCAAAAGCGAAAAAAAAUGUGAAGUAAUAUCAAACGGUCAUAAGGAACUACGCGAAAAAGAAGUUAUUUUGACAAGAUAAAUAGGUUGCAAAUCCACUGCCGCAGUGAACACAAGUUUGCGGAUUGCGUAAAAGAAAACACUUUAAAUUUCGGGAAAUCAGAUAAGAAAUCUAAGAUCAGACUUGCAGUGAUUUGAGAACUUCUACCAAUAUCAUUGCUGAUAGUUAAACUUCACUUAAUAUUUCUUCCAUUAGUGUUCAUCCUUCCAAAACCAAGAACAUUUAAGCAGCGAUGACAUAUCACUUCGAUACACUUCUCUCUUUUCUCUUGCAUGUUAGAUCUUUGUAAAGAGAGGAAAGGCAAUUAAAAGAGAGAGAUCCUAUGUUAGAUAUUUAAUAUUAACAGCAAUUAAUUCACAAAAAAUGCAACCAACAGUUAGAUUACUUCUAUACAUAUAAAAUGCCAACAUUACUUAUAUUCUGGAACAAAUAUACUGAAAAGAGAAACAGUAAUUACCUGAAAUUUUGUCCGGAACCACAUGAAGAGAUCCAAUACGCCAAGAACAAUCUUUCCAUCGAAACAAGAAUCAAAUGAGAUGUUUCAAGGCCUCUGACCACCCAAUUUUCUAUUUGCGCCACCUUGUUGAUUAGAGCCAAUUGUCCUCUUAUAGAAGGAGAGCUUUCAUUUACAAGUAUAGAAUGGAAAUGACUCAUCCAACAGAAAACAACUGGAUGAGCAGUUCUUGUUAUUUGCUAUCGCUAUUAAUCCUAGGAGCAUUCAUUGCGCGCUUCUUUUUAUUCUUCCAAAACUCAUCUUUCUUACCCUUCUUCGGUUUUAUACCAAACUUGCUGUUGACUAUUCCGAGAAUAGCACUCCUAUCCCUUCUAUUCUUUGUUUUUGCUUUCACAUCUAAAAUAGCCCGCAAUUUCCCGUAUGCUCCGGCGUCAGGUACCUGACCACUUCUAACCAUUUGCUUAUGAUAAAAAAACGCUUUAGCAAAAUCGCGCACGCGGACAAAUGCAUAUAUCAUUGUAGAAUAAGUAACCGAAUCAGGCCUCAAAUUAAGAGUCGCCAUCUCCUUCAACAACUGUGGCAAUUUGUAAUGCUGUCCUCCUCGAGCAUAUGCGUUCAUCAAUAUAUUGUAAGUCAUUACAGUGGGCGCCAAACCAAUUUUCCCAAAUUCAAACAUAACAUCUCUUGCUUGGAUGUAAAGCCCGUGUUUCGCAAACCCGUCUAAAAUAAUGUUAUACGUGACUCUUGUACCUUCUACUUUAUUAGCAAUCAUCGAUUUCCAAAUCUCCUUUAGUUUGUCGGUGUCACCCGCUCGCCUAAAUGCAUCAAGGAGAGCAGUGUAAGUCUCUAUAGAAGGCUUUAUUCCUUCUCGUUUCAUAUUUUCGUACGACAUAUAAGCUUUUUCGUGCCACCCACCAACUGAAUACGCAUGUAUUAGGGCAGUAUAGGAAUGUGAUGUGGGCUUUAUACCAGCCUUUUUCAUCCUUAAAAAGCAAUCGGCUGCCAUUUCGCUCAUUUUUCUCUGCCGACCAUAAGCACUUAUAAGGCAAGUAUACGACCUGACAUUUGGUUUUAGCCCUAAAUUUUGCAUCUCGGAGAGCAAAGCUUCGACAAUAUCUGGUUGCGUCCUUUUACUGUAUGCAUCCAUUAAAAUAUUGUAAGUUGCGGUUGUUGGAUUUAAGCCCUUCUCUUUCAUCUCUUUGAAAAGGGCUUCUGCUUCUUCAACCUGGUCCGAUUUUACGUAUGCAUCGAUCAGCGUGUUAUAUAUGAUGGCAUUUGAUGCAACUCCUCUCUUUUCCAUUUCAGACUGAAUGAUAAGGGCUUCUUUUUUAAGCCCCUCAUCACAAAAGGACUUAAUAAGAGCACCGACGACCUCUAAGCUCCAUUUGACACCUUUCUUGUUCAUUUUUUCAAAGAACUCCCAUGCAUCUUUCGCACAUUUCCCGCUUUUUCUCAUCGCAGUUAUUAGAAUAGAACAUGUGACAUGGUCCGGCCGGAUAUUAUUUGCUUCCAGAAGCUCGAACACUUUCCAGGCGUCAUCAUAGCUGAAAUGCCGCAGAAAAAUGUUAGAACAGAGAAGAUCUAUGUGGACUACAAACAAAAGAGAGAACCAUCAAAACACCAAUGUCGGAUUGGCUGAAUCCUGAUAAUGAAUAACUCGAUAACUAAACAGAAUGUUUUCUACGUUUAAAAUUUGAUUAAAAACCCGCAAUUUCCACUAUGACUACUUGUGCUUUUCAUAGCACAACAAGAAAAUACUAAAUAAGGCAAUGCUAGCAUGGAUUUACACAUUAUUACAAAUUCACAAAACCUACAAGAUUGGCCAUACUAGCGACAUAUCGGCAUGCCGUGAAGAUAGAAAACGGAUCUCUUUGAUUAUUCAUACCGAAUUGUUGCAUUAAUAUCAGUGCCCAUCAUAUAUUUAGUCCCUAAAUUUGGGCUUAUCCACACUGGGUCCUAAAUGCUUAUCUGAACAGAUUAAUCUAUGAUAUCACCUCUGUUUUUCCCUAUCAAAAUAUCCACCGUCAACAGCAUUUUCUCCAUAUAACUACAAUGAUCACUUUACACAUCAUUUACUAUGCAACCCAGUUUCCAGCAAACAUGGGGCCUGGUCAUGUGCAAUGCACAACAACGGCGACACUGUGAUAAGUUUUCGAGUUGAGUACAAUUAUCAAGUAACCUAUUUAACUUGAAGGUCAUGGACCAAACAUCAAUGAGAUGAUUGAAGAGGAACUCACCUCCCGCAGCACGCGAGGCCGGAGAUGGCGGCAUUGUACACCCUCACAUCCCUGAACUGCCUCCCCCUCGGCAAAUUCUCGAAAAGCACCCUCAACUUCUCCCCCAUUCCGGCGCGGCCCAGCGCCGGGAAUAUGAUCGAACACGUUCUAGGCGUGACCAGCGGCGGCUCCUGCAGCCCCAUCCACUCAAACAAGUACAAGCACUCCCACACCAACCCCUCCUCCCCCAACCUCUCCAUCAGCUCCACACACUCCCCUUCCCCGACCCUCCCCUCGUAGCUCCCCAAGCACUCCCCCAGCGUCGAAUUCUCCGGGAGGCUCCUCGCGAGCCGCAUGAUCUCCCCGACGACCCCGUCGUCGGGAGCAGCAGCCGCCGCCGAAUCCGAUAACUCCGCCGCCGAUUCGAGAACUAGGGUUGCAGCAGCAGCAGCAGCAGCAGCAGCAUCUUCCACCUCGCCGGGAUCGGCGAGGUGCCACGAGCUGCGGCGGUUGCGCUGGAGCGAGGGGCGACCCUCGCGCUUCGGGUCGUCGACGGGGGCGCUGCGGCGGCGGUUGAAGAAGCUGAGAAAUGGGUCUGAUUCCUCUUCCUCUUCCUCCUCCUCUUCUACAUCUAGUUCAGCGAAUUCUCCGACCAAUUCGUCUUCUUCUUCCUCGAUUGGGGGGGGUUUUGGGUGUGGGGGAUCGAGGUGGGGGAGGAAGAUGGGGGAGGGAGGGGUCGAGGAGGAGGAGAUGGGGAUUAGGGUUUUGGGGGGUUUGAGGAGAGAGGAGGAGAGGUUGGGGAGGUGGGGAGAGGGGAAGGGGAAGGAGAAGGGGUUGAGGAGGAGUUUGAGCGCCAUGGGAGAGGAGCAAAAGAGAAAAAGGUCAGGAGAGAGAGGAGAUAAUCUAAAGGUGAAAAAUGCAUGGAGACCCCUAAACUUUUGAAUCUUUGGCAAAUAGAUCCCUGCAGUUUUAAUUUUGGCAACCAGACAUUUUUUUUGGCUAAAUUAUAUAGAACUUUCUUAUAAAUACUUUUUUUUUUACUUUUUCUUUCUAAUUUUUAAAGUACCGUUUGGUUCGGGUAUAAGCAAGAACUAGCUAUUACAGGGAUAGAUACAAGUAUGGAGAUAAGAAAAAUAGCGUUUGGAUGAAAAUUGGAUUGCUCCCAAGGAUAAAAAAAAUAUUAGAAAGUUUUAUAUAAUAAAUGGAGGUGUUGGUGGGGAUAACUGAGAACUACUAUUCUCGAGUAAAAAAUCUACAUUAUAACCCAUCAACAUUUCAAGUUGUUAUAUUUAGCCCCUCUCUGUCAGGGUUUCAUCACUAUUCCGUUCAUUUUUUAUAAUUUGUACAGAAAAUACCUUUCAAAGUGACAAAAAUAUAUUUAAAUAUUAUUUUUAUCGUUAUAGAAGAAGUAAGAGUAAUUUGAUCAUUUUGCUCUCUCCAUUAACAUCAUGCAUCCCUAAAAGUAUUUCAAAAAUUUUAAAAGAGCAAACUAUAGAUUUUUAAAAGUUAGAAAAAUAAAAGUGAAAAAACGAGUAUUUACGAAAGGGUUUCUGUAAUUUUUUUUUUUUUGAGAGAAAAUAUAACAAGCUAGCCAAAAAUGUUUCUAUUUUUUUUGGCCCCUAAAGUUUCAAUUUUGACAACUAGACACCUCGAUGGGUGCGCCAAAAAACGUUAAAGCUUUUUUUUUUUCUAACGAGAAAAUAAUACAAUAGUAUUAUGAUUGAUAACGCAACAAUAAUUACAAUAUUACAUCACUUCUAUAUCAAUGAUAUGUCAGUGUUUAAUCAACUAAAUUAAAUUUAAAAACCUUAUUAUAAUAAUUAAUAAAUUUUGAAUUAAAAAUUUUAUUAAAUUAAAGAUUGAGCAUCAUAGUGUCAUGCCCCUCAUAGUGUAAUUUAGCUUCUUUUAAAAUAGGCUAAAUUAUAAAAAAAAAAUCUUUAUAAAUAACUACUUUAUUUUCCCUCCCUAAUUUUUAAAAACUUAUAUUUUACCCCCUCAACAUUUCAAAUUAUUACAUUUAACCCCCUCCGUCAAAGUUUCAUCACUAUUUCAUUUAUUUCUUAUAAUUUAUACCAAAAUUACUCUUAAAAAUGAUAAAAAUAUAUUAAAAAAUAAUUUUUUUCUUAUAAAAGAAGUAUGGAUAAUUUGGUUAUUUUGCCCAUUCUAUUAACACCGCAUCCCCUAAAAUAUUUUUGAAAUUUUAAAGGAACAAAAUGUAAAUUUUAAAAAGUCAGGAGAAAAAAAAAAUGAAUAUUUACACAAAGAUUUUCUAUAAUUUAGCCUUAGAAUAUGUUGUUCAAUUCAACAUAAGGCCAUGUGCAAAACAACUUCAUAAUAACAUCUGCAAAACACAAGAUCUUCAAGAGCAACAAAUUUACAUAGAGAAGUUUACAUUUGCUUCUCUUGCGGAUUCGAAGCGGCGAAGCGCCAUAAGAGGCCUCCGACGAGAUUGUUCAGCGAAUGCGACGCCAUCGGAACAACGAGGCUCGCGGAAGUUACAGUCGCCACGCCGUAGGCGAACCCGACAAAUGUUGCCCUGGAACAAUCAUCAAAACACAAAUGUAAAACCAAGAAAACAAAUACUCACUACACUAUGCUUUUUGAGUUCAUACAUUGAAGAAACUCUACUUAUAUAGCCUAUUCGAACCUCGAAGUUUUCGACAAAUAUCAGCUCUAAGAGACGCGAAUCUAUUCUCGCGCUUUCUACUUCUUUUGUAAUCUGUGCGUGGUUGUAAUAGUGAUGUGGAUCGGGCUUUUCGGGUGUACGAACGUCGUUGACGCCGCAACCGUAGUGGUAGCAUAUGGCUUGACCGACCCGAGAUAGGUCCGGGUUGAAUCGAACCUACGAAUUUUUAGAAGCAUCUAGGGAUAAGUAUCGUAUCUAAAUCCCGCUGUGCUAACAUCAUAUUGCGUUAGAUGAGUUUCUAAACCUAGGAUUUGUCCCAAUUAAAUUUAACUUCCUAAUCUUUGAUUCACAAAUCCUGCAUCAAAUAGUGUAUAUAAUCGCGUACCAAACGGCGUACGAAAGUUUCCGGCCGCCACCCAAGUGAAGAACUCCGAAGAGAGCACCGAUCCCGAGGGCGCUUAUCCAAUUAAGUCCGAAAAGCGGCAUUAGACCCCCGCGAAAGAGCAAUUCCUGUCAUAGCAGAUGAUGCUAAGAGCUAACAACCAUGUUCUCUAUAAACUGAUGAUAUUUGAAGAGAAUUAUAGCAAUUUAGAUAUCGAAGGAAUUGUUUGUCGAAAGUGACACAGAUGAUGCAAUAAAAGUAACAUUAAGAGCCUGUUUGGCCUAGCUAGAGCUUUCGAAGUGCUGGGUGAGUAGAACUGUUAGAGGAAACACGAACAUCUUAUCUCUAUCAAAAAGUCAACCCUCUAGCUUUUUGCUGCGAGGAUUAGAAGUUUUAAAUUGAAGCUUCUACUUUCAAUGCUCAGAAGCUUGUUUUAGCUUCUUGCUACAAUAAAAGAUCCGAGAGUUUUAUUUAUCAAAUUAUGGUGGUGCUUUUCGGAGUAAAGAAGCUGCUCUAUAGGCCGAGACCAGAGAGGCGCUUAAGAACUGUUUGGAGAAGCAGUAAUAGCUUUCUUUGCUGAACAAAGACAGAGAGAUAUGGACGGAUAAUAUCUUUACCUCACUAAUCCCGGGGAGAAAUGCAACCACGACAUAAUCCAACGGUUGCAAUGAACUAAGAAUCUGAUUUGAAAAAAAAGAAAAAAAGAAGGAACAGGAUCAAUUUAGAAAGGAUUUGAUGAUAUUCCUCACAUAACUAAAAGAAGCACUAUUUUUUCUUAGUUAACUGAAAACAACGAUAAAAUCAGAUUUCACAUUUAUUAACACAAAUCAAACAUAAAUAUAAAAAAAAAAUGUUUAAGAAAAGAUAAGAAAAGAAGCAAAUAACACAUUUUAAGCUAAAUAAGUGUGUCGCAGGUAUCGAGCAUACUUGUUGGUUAGCUGCAUCGCUAGACUCUGAAAAAUCUGGCCAUAUCUUCAGGAGAAUAAAUCGACUAGUUGAGAUCAGUAUAACUAGUCCCACGAUCAGUUCGAUAUGCCACAUUUCAAAACCAACUGCAAAGCGGCCAAUAAACGGUCAAUCGAAGAAAAAAAACAUAUGGUAUAACUGCAAAACAUUGAACAAGGCAUGCAAGCAAUAUACCAAUGGAAAGAAAAAAGAAAAUAAUAUGUGAAAUCAAGAUUACACAAAUACUAUCACGAAAUUUCAAAAACACGGCUUUUCUGAAUUCUGAUCAUAUGGCAUUUGUGGGAGAAGAGAAAUAUUUACUAACGGCCACCUUCACCAAUCAGGCAGUUAACUACUUGAAGUUGGUUAAAAUCGUAUGAAAGUUAAGAAACAAGUGCGAGAAGUGGAGCACAAUAUAUUAACCACAAUCUAAAUGUGAAAAAAAAAAAAAAAAAAAAAAAACGGCGGCAAUCCAUAUUUUUAACUACAACCAAGAUCUACAUUCUAAUGGAGUAAGGGCGAAUUUGUUUCCCAAAACAAAAGCAAACAAAAGGAAGAGCUUUAAUAUCCUCUAAUAUAAAGUGGACGAAUAGUUGCUUAGAUGCUUGUACAUUUGUUAUAUCCUCUAAUAUAAGAUUUCGGCUGUUGGAUGAAGGGAUGUGCGGUUAGAAUGAUAGUGGUCCUCUAGGAUUGAGUGGGUGGUUGAUUGAAUAGUAUGAUCCAACAGGUGGAAAUGGUCAAAAUGAUAAAUCUAACGGUCGAAAACUUAUGAGUACAAAAGAGUCUAUACUCAUAAAAAUAUAGUAGCCUGACUCUCUCUCUAGAGUCUAUACUCAUAAGAAUAUAGUAGCCUAACUCUCUCUCUCUCUCUCUCUCUAUAUAUAUAUAUAUAUAUCUAGAAAAUGUAUCGACUCCACGAACUAUAAUGCAAAUAUGUACCCAGAGUCUCAAGAUAUUCUUUUCCAUAGAGAUCAACAACUAAUUAGAAAAUAUACAAAAAAAAUUAAUGGGCGACACAACUAAAGUAAAGAGUUGAAGCCUCUUUUCUGCGCGAGUCUCGUAGCAACAUUUUUAGUACAAGGCCAUUGGUUCCUCUGUAAAAGCUUCUUUACAGAAGUAACAAUGACGACGAAAACUUACAUGCUAUUUCUGUAGAGUCAAAAUUUGCCCACCCUUUUGCAUAUGCAAGAUGGGAAGCCUACAAAUCGAAACAAUAAGAAUUUCAAAUAUAAGGAAUAAACAUGAUAAUAUAAUAUCAUGGAUACGAAAGAUUUCGCUAGUAGUUUUCAAUUUAGUGGUUGUUGCAAGAAUUUAAGUGGCCAUCGGCAAGGGCCGUAUCUACCGUACUGUAUCGUGCAAACAAAAUAUCGGUACGAUACAAUCCCCAUGCCGAUGGCACACUCUCUAAAAUUAGUAAAUAAUUUUCUCAAUAAAGUUCAAGAGAUUUGAUAAAGAUACAUAAUAAACAAUUAGAAUAUUUUGUUGCUAAAGAAAAUAAAUAUUUUAUACCAUUAUGUGUCGGUAUAUAUGUAUUUUUUGUAUCCGGCACGCAUCGGCACGACCCAGCACACACCGUACUAUGCCAUGCCGACAAGUUUUCGGCAUGAUCCCAUGCCACGGCACUUAAAUUCUUAGGUUGUUAUUUACGUUUGUACGCAAGAUUACCUGAAAAUGUUAUUUUUAUUUUAGGAUAAAAAAAUACCAAAAUAUGUCUUGUAUGACACAUACUACUCCAGUAUUAAUGUUCUGUUUUCCAGCCAAGAGAGAAAAUGUACAAAUUGGCACAAAAAGUAGAAACUUAACCUGCCGAAUUGCUACCCCUGAAGCAACCAAUAAGACGGAUGUGAUAAUACAAGCCUGAAGCACCGCAGCUCUACUUGAGCCUGCAACUUGAACAGCGGCAUCUGCAUUCUCAUUGAGCAGUUCGACACUGGCGGAACGACCACUAUUACCAUCAUUAGAAUCUUUGUCAGUCGACUCCUUAUAGCCAUCUGGGGAAAGUAUUUUACUUGUCAGCGUUCCUUCUUUGGUUGUUUUUCGAUCACCGCUCCUUUUCCUCUCAGAUUUUCGUGAUGCAAAUGCUUUGAGUUGUACCUGAUUCCACUUUAAAAGAAAAUAUUGAAUCAGUCGCAAAUGACAAAGGAUUUUGACACGUCAGAGACAUAAGGCCUGCUGGGCUUCAUCAUUAAAAUAUCCUCUACAGCUUCGCAUUGCAGCAGAAGCAGAAACUUCGUAGUGGUUGCUAUGCUAUCAAGGAAUGAAAGCUCAUUCUAGCUUCUCGCCACAGCAAACGUUCAAAACUCUUUCCCAGACAAACACUUGAUUUCUAGAAGCUUGUGCGUUCUGAAGUAGAGAACUCAUUCUAAAGACUACGCAAAAGAGGCACAAAAGGGUACUGAAUAUUUCAAAACAUGAAGACAAUUAUGGUUCGUUUACGAUGAAUACGUCGAUACAUUGAUUAGCUAGAUCUCAAUAAGAAAAAAUGUAACCUAGCACUUACACUGCAUGGAUAAACGAGAAGACGUUUUCUUGUGGUAAAGGGGCUGCUAUACUUUCUACCUGAUUAAAUACGGUCUGUCAAAUGUAAGGAAGCAGAAUUACAUCACAAUCGACUAAAGAAGAUCUGCAUUAAGCAAUUCAAUGAUGAAAAAAGUGGAUCAAAAACUUAUCAAGCAGGAGAUGGUACAAAUGGUGCAAAUCUACUUGAAUUAUCAAACUAUCAAUCAACUUUUCCCCAUCAGGAUCAUGUUGCUAUCUCCUAUUUAACUAGCUAAUGUUAUUCUGAAGAACAUGCUUCAACUCGACUCUUGAAAACACAGUAACAUAUGCGACUAUUCGAACUUAUUGUUUCAGUUCAAGAGCCGAGAAACUAUGACACUAAGGUGAUGGUUUUUUAUUUGGAAGAAAAGGCUUUAGACUCGAAAUAAAAUUUGAAAUCACUACUCAUCUAGCAUCUAAUCACCCAACUAUUUUCUUUAAGGCAUAUUUGGUUGCAUCUUCUUUUGUUUACUCAGUGGUACGAUACUACGAUGUAAUUUGGUUGGUAGAUAGUACGAAAAGAUAUAUUGCCAAGGCCAUGUUCGGAUGCACAGACAUCUUAUUCGAUAUAUCCCUUUGAUUUACUCAAGAAGCAUGUAGUCUUUUGGAAGAAAAGGAGUGUGAUCAAAUGUCUGGAAUGAAUACCAUAUUCAGUCUUCAAAUCAUUUUUUAAAAUAAGAUAAAUCAUCACGUACUAUUCUACCAAAUCAAACUCCUAACUUUCAACCACAAAUUAAAAAAAAAAAAAUCUUCAUUCCGAGUAAGUGAUCAUUAAAUAUCUUACUCCGACAUCGAAACGGGGCCUCAGGGCCUAUUCGGUUGUAUGAAUAUCUUGUUCAGCAAAUCUCUUUUAUUUAUUCGAUCAUAAUUUGGUUGGUAAAGAGUGCGAAAAGACGCCUAUAACUCAAUAGUAUACAUAGUCUCUAAAAUCACCUUGUAUUCGCGCAAUAGCACAUUGCCAUCCGAAACUCAAAAAGGCCAAAAUAAACUACGUCGACUCUCUAAUUGAUUACACCCACCGUCCCUAGAGCAAGUGACAAAGAGCUUGGUGGUUGGUAUCCGAGACCCAAGUUCGAAUCCUAGUUGAUUCACAUUUCCAGCUAAGUUUAUUUCUAAAUUAAAUAAACGAAGCAAGUAGCGUGCUACCUAUCUCUCUCUCUCUCAAAAAAAAAAAAAAAAAAAAAAAAAAAAAAAAAAAAAAAAAAAAAAAGACUCUCUAAUUGAUUACUGUGACUGUUCCUAACGCAAGUGACAGAGGGCUUGANAAAAAAAAAAAGACUCUCUAAUUGAUUACUGUGACUGUUCCUAACGCAAGUGACAGAGGGCUUGAUGAUUGGUACCUAAGAUCCCAAGUUCGAAGCCUAGUUGCUUCGCAUUUUCAGUUAAGUUUAUUUCUAAAAAAAUAAACUAAGCAUGUAGGAUGCGAACUUUCCCUCUCAAAAUUUUUUUUAAAAAAAAGAAUUACUUUCUAAUUAUUUCAAAUUCCUCUACGUUUGUUAACAAUCUUAAAUCGCAUAAGAUUCAAAUAGCUAAGUAAAGUGAUUAGCUAAAUCAAAGCAAAAUAUUAACCAUGAACUAAAGAAUCAACACAACACAACUUCAUAGGCUUUUUUUUUUAUUAUUACUUUUUUAGUUUACUCCCAGGAAACAAUUGAGUGUUUCAUCCAACCAAAAAUGCAAUUUUUAACCUAUGAAAAAUAUUAGAAAAAUACUAAAAAACGAACAUGAGACAAUUAAAGCCCCAAAAUUAAGUUCGAAUCUCUAAAUCCAUAAAAAGAUAAUGAUAAUAAAAGGCAAAAAGAAAAAAAAAAAAAUUUAAAGGGUGUGAAUCAAAUACCUAACCUUGUGAUGAGGAGAAGAGCGAGUGAUUAGGUGGGAAAUUACUCCCGAAUCUCAUCAACGUGCUCGUUGUAUUAAACAUUUUCGAAAAUAACAAAAAAGAAAAGUAAAAAAAAUAGUGGCGACGAGGAAAUUAGGGAGCUAGAAGGACCAAUUUGUAAAAUUAUGAUUUUUUUUAAAAAAAAGAAAAAGAAAAAAAGAAUUUGGCGUGUGCGAUGGGUCGAUGUGUGAGACUAAAAAUGAGCGGCUAUGAAUGAGCGUUCUUUAGACGGGAUAAAUGCAUAUCCACCCCCUAAACUUUAGAUAUUUGUAACAAAACUUUUAAUUUUGCUAAUAAACAGAACCAUCGAUCAUACCCAGCGUAGUUAGCUAAGAAAGCUAAGAAAUUAAUAGUUAGUAUCUGAGAUACCAACACUACAACAAAAUUCGGUUAUAGGGACACAUAUUUGAAAUACUUUUGAGUAAGUAUCCCAUUUAUGCUAAAACUUAAAAAUACAUCUAUUAAUGCCUAAAUAUAAAGCCCAAUCCAACCAAAAAUAAAAGAUUACUUUACUCAACCCACCACACUCAGUCCAUUUGGCCCGAUUAUAAAUAGAAAAAAAAAAAAAUCAAUUACCAUCUUUUCUUCUCUCUUCACUCAAUCCACUGAAAUUUUAGACGAAGAGCCUUUACUGUCGUCCUCCUCCGCCGCCGCAGCCAACAAGAUAGAGUUUCGGCAGUUGCUAAAUGCUUAAAUAAGUGUUGGUAAAUUAGCAGCACUUUUUUAGGUUAUAGCGACACUCUUUAACUGUCACUAUAUACCUAGCGACCCCACAUAUAGCAACACUUUUUAAAAGUGCCGGUAAUUUUAGCUAGCAGCACUUUUUUGACAUGUACCUAUAUUUAAAAGUGUCGCUAUAGACCGUUUUUGUUGUAGUGGAAGUUCUCAAUCUAAUAGCUUCACAUUUCUAGCUUGAGCAAUUUUUACUUAUGAUCACUCAAAAUUUAAAAAUACAAAUGAGAAAUCUAGGCCUCGUUUCGUAUCGUUGCUAUUUUUUUAACAUUUUAAGUAAUAAUUCCAUAUAUAUAUAUUUUUUUCCUGAUGAUCACAAAAAACUUAAAAAUACAUAAUAAGAAACCUAUGCCUUGUUUGAUUUCGUUGCCAUUUUUUAAAAACUUUUUUAAGCACCAGUUCUCCAAAAUUUGACGUACCGGAAGAAAGAUCGUGUUGAUAGUAUUUUUACUGGUGAUCAUGCAAAACUUAAAAACACAAAUACGAAAUCUUGGCCUCUUUGCCUCUUUUGAUACCGUUGCCAUUUUUAACUCUUAAAAAAAAGAAAAGAAAAAAAGACAGAUAGCAUAUUAUCCGCUUCGUUUAUUUCAUUUUUAGAAAUAAAUUUAGGUAGAAAUGUGAAUCAACUAAGAUUUGAACUUGAAAUCUAGAAUAUCAACCACCAAGCUCUUUGCUAUUUUUAACUCUUUUAAACACUAUUUCUAUAUACUUUUUAACGUCUUGAAGGAAGGAUUGUGUUCGUAGUAGGACUUUUACUGAUGUUAAAAAUACAAAAAAAGAAAACCUAUGCCUAGGUAGGUAUCAUUGCCGCAUUUUAGUUUUUUUAAGCACUAAUUCUGUAUAACUUGACAUAUUGUGUUGGCAUUUGGUUAAAUCGAAUCGGGUACGCCCAUAAUCAGGCUCGAUCCGAUGGUUAUUAUGUUAUCUAAUUGGAUGAGGAUUAAUCUCACUUUUAAAUUGAAAAGCUAAUUAGAGAUAAAUUCGAAUCAUAUUAGUAUAACAAUUAAUAAUCGAUUUGGCCUUAUCUCUUACGCUCUUAGGAUUUUGGAAUUCCAUAUAAAUAUGCGGGCAAUCCCACAUAAAACGAUGAACGAAAAAUAAAAAGAAUAAGAAAAUAAAAAGAGAGAAAUCAUAUCCUCCAUUAACCUAUUAUUCUAAAGGGACUUGAACGGUGGAUUUGCGAUCGUGCUCGUUUGUAGUUCAAUCCACUGCAAGUUCGGGACGUAAGAAGAUUUUCAAGGACGAUCCAAGGACACGUGAAUCAACCUCUACGAUCCGGGCUUGUCGCGUAGUAGCGCGAAUCGCUUCCGCAAAAAGAUACGAACCAAUACUUCCGCUGCGUUCGACAUAUUGGAAGAAAAAUAUCAUGUUGGUAGCACUAAUUUUGUAUAACUUGACACAUUGGAAGAAAGAUCAUGUUGGCAGCGUACCCGUAUCCUAGUCAGUAAAUUCGUGACUUAUUCAUGAAUUAUUGAAAAUUCGAAUUAAACGGUCCGUUUUAUGAAUUUAAAAAAAAAAUUAUUCACAAAUUUUUGGGCCAGUCGAAUUAUUCGCGAAUAAUUCGCAAAUUAUUGCCGAAUUAUUAAAAAUAUGAAGAAAAAACUUAUAAUUUUUAUUUUUAAAUAUAAAUUAUCUUAUAUUUUAUAUUUUAUACCAAUCCGUUUUUUAAGCCGAAUUUUUUAACAAAUUUAAAAAUUAAAAAAUAAAUUUUAUACGUAUUAUAUCCGUACCGAAUUUUUACCAAAUCCGAAUUAACUAACUAUGAUCCGUCGUCACCUUUUUACCUUUUUAAGCACUAAUCUAUUAAACUAUAUGAAUCCUCAAUAACUUUUGCCACGUGUCAAAUUUUUCUUCAUCCACACCUGAUCCUUCUCUUCCCUGAACCAAACCAUGUCUCUUAUUAAUUUUUGAACCGAACCGCCUCUCUAUUCUCUUUUCUGAACCAAGCCUCUUAAGUUCUGAACCAAUCCGCCUCUCAAUCCUUUCCCUUUUUUUCGUAUAGCAAGUAAUGUCUCCCCUUCUUCUCCGCGUUGUGCAUCGUUCCACCUCCCUCUUCCGACCUAAACACCAAGAGCCCCAAAUCCCUAGGGUUUUCGCUCCGGGAUAGAUACAAAUCACUUGCUCCAAUCUCUGAUUCCGGCCCCUAGAUUUUGUGAUGGAUGGGGUCUCUAUCCCUCGGGGUCGCUCUGUGGAAGGGAAAACACCAACCUAUGGAGAGAGAGAAACAGAGAGAGAUGAAUUCGUGAGCUGAUAAAGGAGACAACCCAACCUGGUUUCAAUGUCCUCCGCAAGCGCCAUUACUACAAAUUGCUAAAAUGUGGUAAUGGAAAACAUAUUAAUUAAUGGGUUCUAGAUGAUUAUUUUUGACUAGGUUAUUUGAAACAUAAAGUACGUCCCUUUAGGUUUCAUUGGUUUCAUAUUUGCCGAUCAAUGUUGAAUUUUUCUAGAGAUUUCAUAAAAUAGAAAAGACUUUAAAAUUUACUAUAAUACUCGCAAUGAAUGUUGGUUCAAUGGAGUGUGCUAACACAUAGAAAAACAACAACAUGAGAAAUCAAUAAAAAGCAGAGACUGCAAGCCAUAGAAGAGGGUACAAUUUGUAAGCAUCAUCUUUAUUCUUUGCACCUCAUUCUCUUGAGCAGGAUGGCAAUAUCUAUCAUCAAUUACUUGAAAUAUGCUUCUAAAAUUCUUUAAAGAUUUCAUGUUGGAGUGUGAUGUGCAGUUUCCUGUAUUUGCAUGUGUACAAGAUUUCAUGUUGGAGUGUGAUGUGCAGUUUCCUUUAUUUCAUGUUGGAGUGUGAUGUGCUUUUGUUUGUUUUGAUACUGCCUCAGCUGGUUCAGUAAGUAUAAGCAAAAUACAUGUGGCUACAUAUGAAACUAAUCAAAUUAUACUUCGAGAUUAUUGGGUAAAAAGUAUUUCUCUCCUGUUUGUUUUGGUGAACCAAGUUAUAUCUCUUUUUAAGGAUUGUGCCUUUUUUUCCAUUCUUUGUCUAGAUAAGUUUUCAACUAAGUUUUUUCCUUUAUGACGGGUCUCAUUGGAGCUUCUGUAUUCUGUUGUAGGUGAAAAUUUUAUAUGAUUCCAAACUAAUUUGUCAAAAAUAGUUUAAUAUUUCGUGAAUAAGUUCUUCCCAUCUGGGUAUCCGCACAGGUUUGGUAGCAUAAACAGAUCUGUAUUUGCUGCUUUUUAGUGAAUGUAGGAGUAUUAUUUCUUAUUGAAAACCAUAAUCUAUUAUGCAAUGUGAAUGAGGUGUACCUGACCUAUACCCAAAUCCAAGCACUCCAACAUUUAUCCAGUGCUGCAUUGUCUGUGCUGUCAACAUAAUUAAUUUGGAUUUGGAUUCUUCAGCGUCCAAUCCUACGGCAUGGGAAAUGAGUCCAGUGGUGAGCCCAUGAUCUCAGGCGACCUCAAGAUCAAUAUCAAGGGGAAGCACCUGAUCUUGGUAAAUGCCUUGCGUUUUACAAAUUUUUGACUUUUGUUUAGUGUUUAAUUCUAACUUGAUGUGAAUAUAUCAAUAAUAAAUAGGAUAGUGGACAAAAACUGAUACUUAAAAAUUUUAUUUUUUUCACUGAAAAAUCUAAUUUUUGCUUAUAUGUAAGUUGAUUGAGUUGCUUUAUAUCUUCUUUAUUUAGAAAUUUGUGUAAUGUUAGGAUGUACUACUCUUUCUUUUUUGCGGAAAACUGAUGAGAUAAUCUUUAGAAUUUUUUAUCAUUAUCUAUUUUUGAGUCAUGACGAAAAAAAAAAUUUUGCACAAUAAUAUCUGCCAGCUGAAUCGCGCGGGUUAACUACACCAGUAUACAUUAUUCCUCAUAGCUUUGCCACAUGGCAAUUCCACCUUCGUUCUUACCUUUUCCCCUUUUUUCACUCCAUGGCGCUUCGUCUUCCCAUCUCCUAUCUCCGCUUAAUGUUUCGUCUUCUCACUUAUUCAUUUUCUAAUUAAUGCAUUCAUAUGCUAAUUGUCAUAUGAACAAAUCACUUUCAUAAAAAAUAAAAAAAAUGAGUAAAAUAAAAUCUAUUCAUAUUCUUUUGUUUUUUCAUACGAUUUAUAUUUAUUGAUAUCUCAUUGCAACUAAAAAAUUUUUAAAAUUGUUAUUUUAUCAAUCUUUUAUAUUUUUUAUAGUAUUAGCCCGCCGCAAUGCACUGGUAACUUCACUAGUGUAUCUUUAAUUCUCAACUUUGAAAAUGAUACCAUUAAGUACUGAAUUUAAUUCUUCAAAAAAGACUUAUAACAAGCUAAGAAAGAAAAGCGCACACCAAAAAAAAAUAAAAAAAUAAUAAAAAAAAAAUUUCUCACAUCAGGAAGAAGUAGAUGCAUACAUACAUACAUGGCUAACACAUAUAUACAUGGAUAAUACAUUUUAAAUAACAAUAUGCUAAGUACGCCAACAUAUUUUCACACGUACAUUUAUAUGUUCACAUAGUGGUAGUAGCAGUAGGAAACACUGGAGACGCAGAACAACAACCUAUAGCUAAGCACAUGCGACUCCGCGACAACCAUGGGCUAACGUUUUACAUGUCCAGUAACAAGAAGGGCAGCACCUGCAGCUGCAUCCCCUACUGCGGCAAUCGCGGGACGCCACAGUGGGCGGAUCACAUUCCUGCCACUGCACUCACCGUAUUCCACGCCACUGCCGUCGUUGUUGCUGCUGCUCACGCCUAUCCCGUCGCCACCGUGCUUGUCUCGCCUCUCCAUAUUGAGAUACUUUCAUAUACGAGCACCAUGAGAGAGAGCCAUGAGAGUGAGAUGAUCAUGAUGUUAAUAAUGAGGAUGGGUAAAAGAUGAUCAUGAGAAGCAGCUUACUGAUUGGAGUGUCCUCCCCUUUUCAAGAAGCUUCUCCCCCUGCAAAUCUGCAAUAUAGCAAGUCUUUUCUUUUUUUUUUUUGAGAGAGAUAGGUAGCAUGUUAUCCGCUUCGUUUAUUUCAUUUAGAAAUAAACUUAGUUGGAAAUAUGAAUCUACUAGGAUUCGAACUUGGGACCUCGGGUACCAACUAUCAAACCCUUGGCCACUUGCGCUAGGGACGGUCGGUGCAAUAUAGCAAGUUAAGAUAGACAAACCGAAAUGAUUGUGCGCGUAAACUUAUUUUAAAAUGGUAGCAUGCAUGGUUAUCUUGCAUGUAAGUGGUUCUACGACUCUCUCGGGUUCGUUCCCUCAGCAAUUUUGAAGAUUUAAUUGAUCUCUAUGCUCUUAUCAUGCUGGUUCAAAUGCGUCGUUUAAGUAGAACUUUUUAGGAAGCACUAGCAGCCUUUUUUCACAUUUUUGUUAUCAUCCACUCAGUCUAUCCUACUGCAGCAAGAUAUUCAGGGGAACUUAGUUUGUGUUAGCUUCUCGUUACAGCAAAAGCAUAAGAACUUUGUUUGCCAAACACACGCUAUCUGUCUUCGGAGUAAAGAAGUUCAAAAUCCUAAGCCCUAACUUGCACAAAGUGAUGAAUAGUAUUAAAUGGUGGUUUAAGGAAUCAUGACCUCUUAGUCCUUGGUGAAGGUUGUUGAGAAUUUAUCAUGAGAAAUUAGUGGGAAUGCUAAAAACUGUUAGAAGAGGAUCAUUAGAUGCUGAUGGUAAUCAAACAAAGAAAAGAGAUUUGUUAGUGUGCAGUUAGAGCUGUCACACCCGAAUUGUUCUAUAACUUGUGGAGCGGUUUCUCUGCAAUGUGCGACGUAUAACUAGGGCACUUAUCUUGUCAACUUGGACUUGAGCAUCUUGGACCACAAUAUCGAAAGACAGCUUCUGCAAAUAGCUACAAACAAUUAAUAACGGGCUAGUUGUGCUUUACGAAGUGAUUUAACAACCAAGAUCUAUAUCUUCCUAAGUAGAUUAGUGCUUAUCUAGUCUAGUACAAAAUUAUGGACAUGGAUGCUAUGGAUAAAGAAGAUUCUUGACCUAAAAUUUCCCUUUGCAUCACCCCUAUCAAAGAUCAUAUUCUAGUUGUGAAAUGCUAUGCACGGUAGAGGAUAAGAAGAUUCCCAACCUAAAAAAUAGAAGUGUUUUUCUUUAAUUUUCCCCUCUGCAUUCCCCGUAUCUAAGAUCAUAUUCUAGAAGGUGUGAACUGCUAUGCACUAUACAUAAGUGCAUCAGAAAAUCAAAGUUAUCUAAGUUGAUCAAUUCAAGAGUUUUCACAUACCUUUUCCUGAAGCUCAGCAAUCAUAUCCAUCAUCACCUAAGUCUGUAUGCAUGCACAGCACAAGAUUAUAAAGUAAAAUCUGUAAAGAUGCUUUACCAUCUUCGCAAUUUGGCAUAAUAAAUUUGAACACAAUUUGGCAUAAAGAUGCUUAACUCCUCUUUUUUUUUCGUUAGAAGCCGAGAUGCUUCACCCUGUUGCUAAAUUCAAUUUCUUACUUAAUGAAGCGGUAGCAUACUACCUUUCUCUCAAAAAAAAAAAAAAAAAAAAAGAACCGUGGGUGCCAUUUUAAAGAUCUAUACUUCUUUCGGUAAGAAGUUUCUCAUCCAAAUCAUGAAAUUUUCCCGCUAAACGGGGUAACGUUUGCUAACCUUCUGGGUCGUUGUUUGUGUUAAUGCACCAUCCAGUUCACUUUCAACUUUGGUUGAGCUCAUCAAAGCUCAGCUGUGUGAUGUUUAAGCUAUAGUUCUGCUCUUAGUGUUGAAGAGCAAUUCAUCAAGCACUUCUGUAGUGUUGAAGAGCAAUUCAUCAAGGCACUUCUGUAGUUUCCCCAUUCUUUGAAUUGAAUUUGUCACCUCUUCUUCCUUGUUUUGAGCAAAUCUCAGGAUUAGAUGUGCACAUUAAUCUUCAUCAGUAGGAAAUCUCUGUAUUAUCUUACAAUAUGUUAUCUUUAUUUUAUUUGGUCUGGUGAUUGUGGCUAUGUUUCUCAUGUUCAGAAGUAUUCAUUUUGUUCAGAAAUAUAUCUGACAUUUGUGUGCAUUUAUAUCUGACAUUCGUUAACAUCCAUGCACCGAAAAGUCAAAAACAAAAAAAAAAAACAAUCUUCAAUACUGAUAAAAGAAGCAAAUCUUCAGUACUGCUAAAACAUGGGGAGGAUAAGGGAAUACUUCAAUACUGCAAAAACAAUCUUUGAACAGGUUUGAGCAUCCUGCUUCAAUUACUUGUUCAAUCGGACCAAAAGGAAAAAAAAAAAAAAGAAAAAGAAACCAUCAGUUCAUAGCAAAUCCAAAAGAGGAAAAGCUAUCUUCAAGACGCUCUGACACUUCAAGCAGCAGUCAAAGGGAACAGACGGAAUAUGUGGUUCAGCACCUGGUAGCUCCCCUGAUGUGUCGGCAUCAAAAUGAACAUCUACAGAAGUUAAAAAAAGGGGGAAAAAAAAAAAAAAAAAGCAAUUAGGUCCCUCGUCAUUAGCAUUUGAUACAUAUAGGUUGAUAGCAAUGACUGCAUAUACAAAGAAAAGCCUUACAUCAAGGUUAAUCAAAGAUGACUUUGGUGGAGGCGAAAAAAAAAGGGAUCACUACAGAAAAGUCAAAAACACAAAUAAAACACGGACGCAUGCUCGCAAAACAAUUGCACAUAUUACACACACGCACGCACGCACGAGCGCGCACAGCUUUUGAGGGGAGUUAAAUUCUUUGCCAAUGAUGCCAAACAACAAACUAUGCGCUUAUUUUGUCAUUUCAUUGAGCUUUUGAAUGGAGUUAAACUCUUUGCCAAUGAUGUCAAACAACGCACGUGUGCAACCAUUUUGUCAUUUCAUUCAAUUGGAAUUAUUGUAGUCAAAUUCUUCGCCAUGGUCCAAAGGUCCUAUCACAAUCAAUCCAAUCCUAGAGCUUCUUUGUUACAUAAUUACAUAAUUAACCACUUUCCUCGCAGAUUAAUAGACCCAGACGUACACUUGAUCAAUCAAAUCACUCUUGAGCAAAACCGUCUUCUUCACAACUUAUGAAGAUUCAAAAGUUUCUUUUAUUUUCCCAUCUAACCUAACUUCAUCAGCUUUUUUUAUUCCUCUUUUACAAUAGUUUAUCAUAUUUCUAGUUCAUCCAGCUCGUAGAAAAAUGAAAAAAACACACAAUAGCACAAGGGUCAAAUAUCUUUUUUCUAGAUACUUAGUAAUCCUAAAAGAGAACCUCAAAAUCAAUCUCUCAUCUAAAAGCUAUGGGGCGUGCCAAAUCCAUGCUUAAGGAGCAAAAAUUCUCCUUCUAAUCAUAGUAGCAAUCAAUAAGAUCGGAUUCAAAUCUCAAACAGGCGCAUAAGAUUUCCCCUAAAAGAACAAUUAACUAAGAAAGAAAACCCUAAAUUCAUAAUCCACAAAUGACCUCAUUCUCUAUUUAUUAAAAAAGAAAGUAAGACACAAAAAAAAAAAAACCCCCAAAAGAACAGAAGAACACAACACACGGAACCGUAAAACAGGCUCACCACAAGGAAAGCAUAGAAUGUAUAGGAGUAAAGGCACAUCAAUUAGUCUUUAUCUAGUAGGAUAAAAGACCAUUAUCUGAUCGGCAAUCAUCAUUUAAACAUGAUUGAGUGAACACCAUAUCAAAUAGGAAAAGAAUAAAUAAAUCUAACAAGGAUAUCUUUCUCCGGUUGCUUUAGCACCAAAAUAAGUUUAAAGAAGGAAAAUAGUGAAGGUAAAAACCAUAAAUCUGGCUGAUGAUCUCUUCCUCCAUUCUAAUUAUGCCGGCUUGGCAUAAAAGGAAAAGUAAAAGAAAAAAAAAAAAAAAACCCGGGAAAAAUCGACAAAAACAAAAACCCCUAGGUCCAUUUUCACCACAAGGAUCAAACACAAAAGGCACAAGAAAUGAAGUGCUAUCAAUCAAUCGAGUAAUCUAUCUCUUCUCUCUUCUUUCUUACUUAGAUUGGGGAGUAGAAUAUCGAAUCGAAGAAAAAAUAAAAAGCCAAACUCUAGAUGGAACCGAACACAAGAAUCGAAAGAAAGAAAGAAACUACUGACCUGGCUGAACAUGCUCUUGCUCUGGUGGUUUUCGCCGGCGAGCUGGAUGGCGCCGGAGACCGAGAGGAGCAAGCCACACUGGGGGCCACCCUGGGGGUCAGAGUCCUGGCAGCAGUCGACGUUGUAGAUGUCGUGGAGCUGGAAGGGGAGGGAGGCUAGCUUGGCGACGAUGGCCUGCGCGCCCUGGAUCUUGUCGCCCUCGAACGUUAGCAUCGACCCUUCCUGGUACAGCUCCCCCAGCGCCGCCCGGUUCCGGUUGAACGUCAUGCAGUAGUGCUCUACGAACUCCCGCGCCAUCACGUCCGGAUCGAUCGAUCGAUCGCUCGCUCGCUCGUCCAUUGUUAAGAAGAUGUAAAUGAUCACGAUGAUCUCUCUCUCUCUCUCUACUCUCGACAGAGAGGGAGAGGGAGAGGAAGAGGCAGAGGCGAACGGAGGAGAGGAGGGGGGCAGCGGCAGCGCUCCUUAUGUAUGAUGAUAAUAAUACAUAUAUAUAGGGAUAUAAAUGAGAAACCCUCCAAAGUCGGUGAUUAAUGGAUGUGCUAACCUACUUUCGCCCACCACCCUUUUUUUUGGUGCACCCGGUGUACCAUGUUUACUUUAAAAUUUUAAUUUUAAUUUUAAUUUAAUAUAAUAGGUAUAAUAUUUUAUUAUAUUUAAAAAAUAUAUGUAAAAAAUAAUUUUAAAUCUUAAAUUUUAAAUUAUUUUUUAUAUAUUUAGUUUUUCGUAUCAUCAUUUAAUUGUUGGUUAAAACUAAUAAUGUAUCCAAAUAUUUUUGAUUCGCUAAUUCGUCAUUAAUGAAUUGUGUUACAGGCCAGGUUGGAAAUACCAACAAAAUUCAGACGCUUCUAUUUAGUGCUAUUCUGUCUAACUGGGGGAAGGUAUGUUUCAAAAACUAAAUUGCAGUUAAUGAGGGAGGUUGCUGACAAAGUUGAUACGCAUCUUGAGCUUGCUCCUGCCCUCGGAGGUGAGCUCCGAAUGCAUCUCCGUAGUCAUGGCAUCCGCGAUCCGUCGUAGCUUUCCAAUAGGUGUGGCACACUGCUCCUUGAGCUCCCUCACUAUUGCCACUACCCUCACCCACCACCCCCAGCUCUGCAUUCAGUGCUGCACCACCACCUCAGCCACCGCGCACGCCGUCGCCGUCCUCACCGCCGCCUUUCCCAUCUCCUCUGACUAGGGGGAGAAAUAAAAUAUGUAGAUUAUACUUUGUACUUGAAAUAAUUGCUAUUUUUAUUAUUAUGGUGUGAUUUUUUGCUUCCAAAUCUUAUGUGAGUUUAUUUUAUUUGAUAUUUGAAAGUUUUUAUGUAUGGCAGACUUUUUUGUUGUUUAAAAUUAUUGAAUAUAGUUGCUUUCGUUUAAUUUUAGCUUCAAGUACUCUAAUUUUCUGAUUUCUUCUUCUUCUUUUUUUGCUUAUAUGGCAGUUGAUUGAGUUGCUUUAUAUCUUCUUUAUUUAAAAAUUUGUGUAAUGUUAGGAUGUACUACUCUUUUUUUUUUUGCGAAAAACUGAUGAGAUAAUCUUUAGAUUUUUUUAUCAUUAUCUAUUUUUGAGUCAUGACGAAGAAAAAAAUUUUGCACAAUAAUAUUUGCUCGCUGCAUCGCGCGGGUUACCUACACUAGUUCUAUAUAAUUUGACGUACUGAAAAAUUUUAAAAAAAAUAAUAAAAAAGAAAAAGAAAAAAGAGAGGUAUUGAUAGCAUCUUUAAUUAAUGAUCACGCAAAAUUUAAAAAUACAAAUAAGACCUAUGCCUAGCUUGGUAGUUUGGUACCAUGGCUAUUUUCUCAAUUUUGUAAGCACAUACUAUAAAAUUUAAUGUGUAAUGAAAACAACUUUAUUGUUUUUUAACUUAUUAGCUCACAAUGCAUUCCACUAAGAGAUAGAUGGCCAUUUAUUUUAAAAAAAAAUUUGGAAGCGGAAACAAAUUGUUUUCAAGUUUUAUUUAUUGUUGUUAAGUGAAAAAUUAUGGAUGAAAAAAAUUAUAAACAAUUCGCUAUCCACUCUUCCACUUUUUAAUAUACAAAAAUUUUAUUUAAUAAAGUAAAAAAUAAACUUUUUUUUUUUUUUUUUGCAUUUAUUCAUAUCAAAUUCUCUUACUCAACAUAGAAGCUUACAAAACCUUUUAAAUAUAUAAAAAUAGACAUUUGAAAUUUUUAUUUGUAAAAAUAAACUGAUAAAAGCAAUAAAUCAUUUACAGCAUUGUACCCUAAUUUAUAUAUUUCCUACAUCCAAACUUCAAAAUAUAUAUAGUAUUAAACACUAAAGAUAAGAUGGAUAAAUCAUUCACCGUAUAGAACUAAUUUUAUAAAGUUCUUAAAAAUUUUAUUUUUAUAAUUAUAAUAUUUUCUAAGUGUAUUAAUAAAAAAAAAUUCCACCCAUUAUGUAAAAAUAUUGAGGAAUAAACCAAUAUUCCGCCUAUAAGGCAAAGGCGAACUCACACAAUCGUCACAAUCGAAAUCCGUAAACACUGUAUCUAUAAAAAGCUCGAGAUUUUUAAAUUAUGGUUAGCAUCAACUAUCCAACAGAAAAUACUCAAAAAAAUGGCACAGCAAAAGGAUCUCUGUAACUGCUUUACCUGUCAGACUGGUACAUGAAUUUUCCUGCAAAGGCAAAUGUUUGACAGAAGUAAUUCUAUUCUGCACAAUUUACCCAGCAUGAAGGCAGACUGCCUGUUUGAUCCCGUUUCUGCUUCUGCUUCCGACGGCAGUAGGAUGGCGUAAAGCAUUUGACGAACAAAAAGUUUUAAACUUUCUGCUGCGGUGAAAAGCAGAAAUGAGAUUGUAAAGCACAAAAGCAAGAGCUCUAAUUUGAAACUGUAACUCUGCCGUUAAAUAGAAGCCAAAUAAAGCACUACUCAAACAGCACUGAACCCAAACAUAAAUCAUGUUUAGCCUAUAAACCAUCUAAACAUAUAUUUCAAAUUUAAAGUGCAAAAAGGAGCUACAAGGAACCCUAAAAAAAUCUAAAUAAAUCCUUUCCGUUCGCACGAAACAAUGAAAAGACAAAAGCCACUAAGAGCAUUCAAUCCAACACUCCAUCUUAAAACACAGCAUCCGAAGCACAUUCGCAGCUAUUUAAAAGCAAAAAAAAACCAUAGAAUUAAAGCAUUACCAUCACGUGUUAACUUUGCGCUUUUCCUAUUUUUUAACUUGAAAUAAACAAUCCCAAAGGAUUCAAUUGCAAUAGCAAUUGUGCGACCGAACAAGAAUGCGAGAGUACGAAAGAAGGCGCGAUAUUUUUUUCCUGCUGAAAAAGACAAGUAAAUGAAGCUCAGUGCAGAUAAUCACACUUAAAUAUCAAAUUUAAGGAUUGAAUUAAGGAGUAAUUACUAACCUCAACUGUUUCAAGGAUACGGGAACCAAAAGCUAAAGUUUAAUAUGAAUUAUUGCCUUCUCUCACUCUUGUAGAUUUUCGAAGCCAAUUGAAAGCCAACCACCGACAGCGAAGGUAACUCUUCACGAGCUCAUUCUUCAUUCUUUUUUUUUUAAUCUUUUUCUCCUUUUCUUCUUUUUUUGUAGAUUUUUUCUGAUAUAUUCGUCUUUUUUUUUGUGGUUUCCAUUAAAUAAUCUGAACACUGGCUUGUUGAAGCUCAUCGGCCACAGCGGACAGAAAAAAUAGAAAAACGCCGACUAGCCAGAUUUCAACCAGCUGCAGAGCCAGACAAAAUCAAAAGAAAAAGGAAAAAAAAAAAAGAAAAAGAGAGCAAUAAGUCGAAUAAUUUCUAUUCCUCCUCGACAACGUCUUCUGCAUUGUGCGGAAGGUCAGCGCAGUCGCAACAAAUGUAAUCGAAGAAAAAGGUUUCGUCCCAGUACUCCCCAUCCUUAAUGCACUUCCCGCACUUAACACACCUUUUAAUGCAAGAUUCACAAGCCCUGCAAAGAUCCAACCCUCCUCUACAGCUUUCCCUAGGGCAAUCAUAGACAAGCCGGCAUCUAUAGCACUUAGGGCACAUCUCGACAUCGAGCGGGCGCUCAUCGCCACAAUCUAAAGAAAAGCGAUCGACGUGAAAGAACCACAGCUUUUUUUUAGCAUUUGGUUUCUGAAGUUGGUUUACGCCUAGUAAUAACUUGAUCUGUUCAAACUGUUCCUUUGAUAUGCGGAAGAGCCGGCCAAGUCUGAGGUGUUUUAUUCCGGAAGAACCUGACGAUUUAAAAGCUGUCAGGUUGCUGAUGAGACCGGGUGUUGUCAGACCCGUACAUUCCAGGAGAUUCAACUGCAUGACAAAAUAAGAUGCCAUUUUUUUUAUGACAAGAAAUAAUGAAAAGAAAAAGAAAUACAACAGAAUAUCAAUAUACACAACCGACAAUUGGUACCCACUCUACUCGACAAUUAUAUAGAGAAAAAUAGUUCAUAAGCUGCAUAAAAUCAUAAUAUUAAUACCCAAAACCAUCCUAACAAUAAAAGCUCGCUAUGUUUCCCAAUCACUGGAGUAAACUGUUAGCUAAUAUAUUGAAGCAAUAGAUGAUGGAUUCGCCUGAAAGGGGAGUUUAAGAAAAUCAAAGGUCGUCCUUAACAUGCUGACAACCAAAAUAAAGCUCUUUGGCACCACAAAAAUUUGACUGAGAAUCAAUAGAAAGUAGGAAACUUAACACAAAACCAACUCUACACAAAAGUAAAUUACUUGAGCCAAUUAUAAUCGAUGCUAGACUUGAUCCACCAAAUUACACUCAAUUUAGCGUACUGAGCCGAUGUACAUUUCCCCAAUGUGUUAGACCACCAAUUUACUGGUGGCUCGUUUAGUAACACGAUGGGUGAAACAGAGCAUUCGAAACGAAAAGUUUGGCCCAGAUAUGCAAAUGCAAUGCUCGAACAAAUAAACUCCAAAAAACUACAUUUUGGUCUAAUAGAAUAAGCAAUAUCAAGGCAAUCAAGCACAUUCAGAGCUCCGGAAUAUCAUUUCCCAAUAUUUGCAGUGUAUCUGCAAUAGAACAAAGCAUACCAUUGUUACCAAUCAAAACCAAUGCAUAUUGUCCUUUUUUCUUCUUACUAUUGUCCUUUUUCCUUCUUACUCUUGUUGUUUUCUUAGUUGCUUCUUGUCCCAAAUAAUAUAAUUUUUGAAUAUGUGGUAUGAAAUAUACGUCUUUUCCACAGGAAAAUUUUUUUUAAAAAAAUCCCAGAAUAAGUUAUAAGAUCAUUUAAUUGUUAUGUUAUAAAAAUAGAUAGUGGUUGGAAGCAUCAGCUAAUCGCUACAGAAAGUUGGAUAGCCCAAGAUAAACGAUGUUGCACAGUAAGCCUUGCAUUCUACAUGAUAUUCCCGUAAGAUUUCAUUAACAGACUUCAAUCUAAAAUUUACUCAUAGAACUUCAGUCCGUACCAACUCUGCACCAAUCGGUACAUUAAUUAUCAAAAAUUACAUGUAAAACAUUCAAUGUUUUUAAGAGAAAGUAGUCUAUAGAUAUCCAGGUGCACAUGGACUUCAAAGUAAAUUAAACGAUGUUUUAAAACAUAAUGAAAAGAAAUUUAAAAAUAAGCAAUAAGUAAAGAGAAACACAUACAAUAAACAACAAGAAUAAGAAAACAUAAAACAACAUACCUAAAUACAUAGAGUAUAUAACACAUCGAAUUCCCAAGUAACUUUUCAAGAACAUGUACUAAGAAUGAAAAAGACGAAUAACCAAAUAUGAUUGUCAAGUUUCCAAGUAGCCCAUCACAGAAGUGCCAUGCUAAACCGACUUUUAUAUGCUUAAAAUUAAUGAUAGUAGGCAGGUUGCUCAUGUGUGUACUAUAUCGCACCUAUGCCACAUGCUGAGCCAUCAAUGCAAAUUGCAGAGUGAUAAAGCGACUACACCACAUAGGCUGGCGCAUAUGUGGGUACAUGAACAGCAUCUUUAGAGAUCGUAAAUAUGUGGUAAUUAAAAAAGUCAUUUAUUUCUCUUACAUUGAGCAAGAGCAGAUACAGAUUAACAAACUUGCUUUGCUGUAACAUCAGGGAAAAGCAAAAUUACCACCUUGGGUGAAAAAAAAACUACAAUCUGAAUGUAUGAGCAAUAUAUACUCGCAUAAAACUCAUUUUGCGCUUGUACUUUACGCAUGCUUCAUAAUUAGUGAUGACUUCUAUGCACGGCAUUAACUAAUCAAGCAGUAAAAUGAAUGGCGAUAUCUCCAAAUGAACUGACUAAGAUCACAAUCAAUCAAUAAAUAAUUAGGAUGCCUAAGAGAGCUAUAAAAUUUGCAAACAGAACGAGUUUCAUCAUGGACAAGUGGUAUAGUUUGUGCUGUUAGGCCCAAAUUUUAAUCAUGCCCGACCCGUAAGAAAGGAAGGGGGAAAGAUAUUCUUAACGAUUAUUACAGUAGAUUAUACCUCAAAAUAAGAGAAACAAUUUCACGAACAAUCCAAACCUAAAAAUAGCAACGAACUAUGGCAAUAAGACAGGCGUUCUAUGUGAUUCCAAAGCAUAGCAAUGCAAGAUACGGAAGAAGCAUUAUAACCAAACAAUAAAGCAACAAUUCUCUUCAGCACAGAAUAAAAAAAGAAAAGGCAUUUCAAAAAUACCUUGCUCAGCCGCGGAUUAGCCGCAAGCACGCGCUUGAGACCGUCGUCAGUGAUCCCUACACAUCCAGGCAUGCUCAAGCACCGCAAACUGCCUUGGGCCCUCUGCGUCAGCGCAAAGAAAGCAUCGUCUGGGAUCUUACGAUUGAAAUCGAGAUCUACAUGAAUGCACCUCCAAAGAAGGGGAUCAUUUCGAACGGCAUAAUAAAGAGAUUUGCAGACCCUCUCGACCGAAAGGAGAUCCUUAACUCCCAGCUUACCAAGAGCAUAAAACAGACCCUCAUGGGGAACACCCACUUCCGCACUCGUAGCCCCAUUUUCGGCUUCACAGCCACCUCUGUAACCGAUCUGGGAUUCGAAUGCCGCAUUGCAAUAGCAACCGGAGCCAUCCAAAGAAUUAUCUUCAACUACAGCAUCACCAACCCGAUAAUUAACGGCGGGAUCGAAAGCGUUUUCCGGAUUCAUCUCAAAAGGAUCGGACGGCAAAAGCUCGACCAAAUCGACGAAAUCAUCCACCCCUCCGAACGACAUCGACAACGACGAAUUCAGGGGCAUCAACUCAACCCCUCCAAAAACCCUAAAAUCUAAACCUAAAAAUUUCCUUUUUCAACCCAACACAAACUACUUGUUUCUUAUUCUUUCUCUCCUGCAAACCCUCGAUUUCCGAUUGCAAUCGAAAAAAAAAAAUUUACCAAGCACCGAAAAUCUCACUGGAUCUCUCGAACAUUACCACAUCUCAGAUUAAAUUACAUCAAUAGCAUAAGAAUCAAAGAACAUGAGAAACUCAAACAAACCCUACAAACCCUAGCGAUGCUCCCUCGAUACCAUCAAGCUCCUAAAAUCUCAUCAAACUAACAAAUAAACAACUCCAGAAUCGAUCUAAAACAGCAGAAAGAGUAGAAAAGGUAAGGAUUUUUUGGUUACCAAUUAGAGAUAAUUACGAAACUUGGAUUGAAAUCGACCGAUCUAUUAGGGUUUGAUUGGAGGGGAGGAGCUCCCAAACCCUAAAAUAGAGGGAGAGGAUGGAGAGGAGCCCGCGAAGAUCUCUCCUUAGAGAGAGAGAGAGAGACAGAGAGAGAGAGAGGAGGAGGAGGAGGAGGAGAGAGAGAUUUUCUUUUAUUUUAUUUUAGUUUACCAAAAUAUUUUUUAUUUACUAAAAUUAGGAAGAGAAGGGGUAAAAAUGUCUAGAGACCCUCCAAUAAUUUAUUAUUUACAAAUAGACUCAAUUUGUUUCUCUUGAUUGAAGCCCCUCUAACUUUUGAUUUUUAUUUUUACAAAAAAAGAACUUCAAAUACCACCCCAGUAUUUCCGCAUGUUCUCACUUUAGUAUUUUAUAAUUUAAACCGUAUCACUUUAGUAUUAUGUGAUUUUAUUUUUUUCUUUUCGUUAUCCUCUUUAUUAAUUUUUUUGUUAAAUCAAUAAAAAGUUAAAAUUAUAGAAUACUAAAAUAAAAAUUUCGUAAAUCACAGAAUAUUAAAGUAAUUAUUUGAUAAACUACAGGGGCAUUUGAAGUUUUUUUUAUAUAUAUUUUAACAGAGAGUUAAAUGAUAGAACGACGGAAAGAAAAAAACGAAAUCACAGAGUACUUGAAUCUACAUAGUAUUAAAGUAAAAAAGUGCUAAUCGGGAUAUUUGAAGUUUUUUAUUUUUCUAAUUAAAUUUGCCAAUCAAAAUUAGUAAUAAUUUUAUUAAAUUUGACUACUCUGUCUAUAAAUAUUGAUGCAAUUUUUUAUUUUUUUAUUCAAUUAAUAUAAUGAUUUCGAUAAAUGUAACUAUUUUGAAUGCUUUUAGUUGAUUAAACUGAAUAGCUGAGAGUUAAUGUCGUCAUUAAUUUUUAACAAAUUUUUAAUUUAUUCCAAAAAAAUAUAAUUUAAAUUAUUUAUAAUUAAACGUUAAAGGGAAAGUUAGAGGACCUAUUUCAAAUUUCUCUAUAAGUGAGGGGUCAGGAAAAAUUAGAGUGAAGCAGUGGCAACGACACGUGUAAAGCACGAGAGGGGCUUCGGUGGCAACGACACGUGUAAAGCACACCGAGUCCUCUUUAGCCGUUGGAUCAUCAAUCGACGUUGAUUACACGAUCAAAUAAAUUCCCCGAUUUUGGUUUAAAUAAUAUCUAUUCCGUUCGAGCUCUGAUUCUUCUGGAACCGUUGGAUCAUAAAUCGACGUUGAUUAGAUGAUAUUCUUAGAUACUUCAAAUCUGGGUCUAAAUUCGUGUAUCUGUGUUGGGCCGUACUUGGCCCAAUGGUUAAUUGCACGAUUGGUCCUCAACUUAUGAGGGCGUGACAUUUCGAUCCUCAAACUUUAAUUUAUUCUAAUUUCUGACUCAAACUAUCAGAAUUAAUGUAAUCAAGUUUCAUAAUCUAAUUUAGUCGACGAAAUGAUAACGCAUCGACACAUCUUAAUUUUUAUUAUAUCAUCAAUUACAAUAAUUACACACCACUUUUACAUCAAUAAUUUAUCAAUAUUAAGCCCUAAGGGUGGCAAUUCGGCUCGCUGUUAGUGAGCCAGCUAAUGUUCGCCUCAAAAUGGGCUUGAAAUCGAAUCGCUUAUUUAAAACAAGCCGAGCACGAACUGAAUUUUCCAGCUCGUUUAAUAAACGAGUCGAACGUGAGCUGGGUCAGCUUGCUCGUGAUCGGCUCGAUAACAGUUCAAAUACAUACAUAUAUAUAUACAUAUAUAUAUAUAUAUAUAUAUAUAUAUACACAUAUAUAAUAUAAAUUUUUAUUAUUUGGUUUUUAGUUUAACCUAAAUAUAAAGUCCAACUCAAUUAUAAAAAAAGUCAUUUAUUUGUAAAGUUUUAACUAUUAGAUCAAAGACAAAUGGAUAAGGUCUCAUAAAUUUAUUUUCUAUACGUAUUUUUCAUAAUUCUUUUAACUUGUUAUUCAUGAGCCAGCUCGUGUUUGGACACGAGCUGAAUUUUUCGGCUUGAUACUUUAAUGAGUCAGAUUGUAUUCAGCUCGUUUAUGAAACGAGUCGAAUAUGAGCUGGCCUCAACUCGCCCGUGUUCGGCUCGUUGACACCCCUAAUUUAGCUAACUAAAUUGGGUUGUGGAACUUGAUUGUUUUAAUUUAAAAAGUUCUGCUUAAAGGUUACAACAAGCUAGAGUUUGAGAACCGCAAGUGUUACCUUACCUAUAGUUUGAGCCUGUUAGUUAAUUCGCGAAUUACUGAAAAUUCGAACUAAACGGUUUAUUUACGAAUUUUUUUCAAAGAAAGAGAAUUAUUCGCGAAUUUUUGGGCGAGCCGAAUAAUUCGCGAAUUAUUCUUGAAUUAUUAAAAAUUUGAAUAAAAAAUUUAUAAUUUUUAUGUUUAAAUAUAGAUUAUUUUAUAUAUUAUAUCUUAUAUUUUAUAUUUUAUACCGAAUCCGUUUUUUAAGCCGAAUUUUUCAAUAAAUUUAAAAAUUAGAAAAUAAAUGUUAUACGUAUUAUACCCUUUUAGGCUGCGUUUGGUUGGAGGGAUAUCCCAGAACAAAGCGGGAUAUCCCUCCAAACACAAUGCAUUUUGGAACAAUCGGGUUGUUCCCGGCUUAACGGGUUGUUCCAGAAACAACCCGGUAAGCUUGUUCUCCGGAGAACAAGCCGGAACAAGAGAUUUGGGCUUUUUUUUCUUUUUUUUUUUCUGGCCUUUUAAUUUUUUAUACUUUAUUUUAAUUAAUUUCAAAUAAAUUAAAUGAAUGCUCAAAUUUAAUAAAUAAAUAUAUUAAUAUAAAUAUUAUUUUUAUGAUAAUAAAUUUUAUUAUAUAAUAUAAAUUAAUUAAAUUUGAUAUAUAUUUUAUUUUAUUAAGUUUUAUCAUUUAUAUAUUAAUAUUUAAUUAUUUUAUUUUAUAUUAAUUAUUAUAUACAUAAAAUUAUUUUUUCAUAUAUUAUAUAUA
This 45860-nucleotide long non-coding RNA is filed under the name Ananas comosus (pineapple). Its description in RNAcentral is "long non-coding RNA (ACOM_LNC028792)". The record is from RNAcentral. Lineage: Eukaryota; Viridiplantae; Streptophyta; Magnoliopsida; Poales; Bromeliaceae.